UCCACCGGGAUCUGCCUGUGUCAAAUCCAUGUUCCACUGCAAGUUAUAGAUGUCCAAAAUGCUCAUUGAUAGACAAAUUUGAAGCUUGUUUAUUCUAUGGUCAAGUUCAACAUGCAGAUUUUGACGAUGUCUCAAGUGAAUUCAUUGAUUGCGUCUCUAACUUUACACAGAAUGUUUGGAAUAUUUUGGCUCUCAGUUGCCAGUACCUUAGAUUGAUUAAGAGUCCUAUUGAUUUCAGUUGGCUUGGUACCACAAAAGAUUCCAGUGUAGGGGAAGUUCUGAUUCGGUCUAGUGGCACUAAAGCGGGUUCUUGUGGGACUGAGAGAAGCAUUUCUGGAAGUGAAGCAGAGGGAUACACAGCCCAGGUACGGAUAUGUAUUUUUAAGCUCGGUGUCCAUUGCUUACUAUAUGGAGGAUAUCUAGCGAGCAUAUGUUAUGGUAAUUCCCAUUUGACCUGUUAUGUUCGUAAUAUUUUAGAUAUGGAAGGGAUAUUAUUGAAUCCUUGUCAUGAACCAAAUUGAGUUUGAGAUCUUAGAAGUUAAAUUAUUCCUGUUUUGGUGUUAAUUGCUGUGUUAUUAUACUCGUUAAGAAUCUGUUAAAAAUGUUGGUUGCAUAUAUCGUCUUCUCUGCUUGUGAUUUUUCGCCUCGAACUCUAUUCGUCUUGCAUGAUGCCCCAAGGAAUCAGCCACACGUAUCAGAAGUUUGUGUCAACGGAUUCAAUUUGAUAGACUACAGUGGGUUUCAAAAUAGAAUAAUCCGCUAUAGCUGUUUCAUAUAUCAUUUCGGUUCAGUCAAAUUAAAGAACCAAAAUUGAAAUCACAAUUGGAUUCGAUUUGGAAACAUCUGAAAUACAAAAUUGAAACCACAAUCGAAUUAAAGAACAAAAAUUGUCAUCUCCUGAUGCAUCCCUGUUUCUAUUUGUGUUCGUGUUUGUGUCAAAAAUACAUCGUAAGAAUGUUAUAACAGUUGCAUACUUAAAGCGACGCCCUACUGAAUGUUACAAUAGAUGCAUACAAGACCGUCGCUAAUGUCAAUGUUUCUUCUUUUUGUUGGACUUUGAGUUGGAGCCAUGCUCAUUUUUAUGUCGCUUUUCCCCACUCUUGUGACUCUCUCUCUGUUUUCCUUUAUCCAUUUUGUUUCUACUUGAUUUCACGCUAACGAGACCACCAGCAGGUAGGUUUGCACCGCCAUUCUGUAAUGCAUUCUCAAAGUCUGCAUCUCUGUCCCCAAUCGCGUACUGUUGAAGCAACUUGGGAUCUAAUGACCCCUCCGAGUUGGAUCUCAUCCCAUCCUGUAUGUGCGUAGUCAAGUCAGCCCAACUCUUGGGAUUCAGAACGCGGGAAAGAGAGGCAGUUCAGGUAACACGAAGGUAAGGAAGGAAUAAAGCGUACCUCAACUUUUCUUGCAGCAUCAUUGAGAUCAUCAUCAACAGAGAUCUUGUGAGGUUCCAAGAGAGUCUGAACCAAAAUUUCCGAAUCAGAGUGGAGUUACAACAUAGGCAGAAGAAAAGCACAGUAGCAUACAUACACGCACGCACGCACAAUUAUAAUGUGAUAGACGAUGUUUAAGCUUGCAUUAAGAAACACAAUAAUGUAAACUUAGCGAUUACAUAUCAAACAAAAUAGUUCAGGUACCAAAGUGGCUCACGCGCAACACACAUGUCAAUAUCAUAUAGUUAAGCCAACUAGAAUCAUAAUGCAUCCUACGACAUGAAAUUAUUAGAAAGAGAUGGAAACCACCAACAUAUCAUGUACUUUCCAUAAGAAAAAAAAGGGUUACUGCUUUGCUGAACUUACUUCUUUUGGUUUAGGCAAGGUUGACACAAGGCCCUCAGAUGCAAUAGCGUAUAGAUAUUUGUGAAACUUUUUCAUAACUUUUAUAAACAGAGACAAUAUUUGCUGCCUUUCCAGUUUCAUCAACCCCUGGAAAACGUGAAUGUAAGUAAAAAUCUACACCUGAUAAGAAUGAAAUAAAGAGCAGAAAUGACGCCACCAAGUAGAGUGUUUUGUCUUUGCAAGUGGGUUUGAUUGCGUGCUCGCAUUGCAUCUAUGUGACUGGUAUAGCCAAGCAAACCAUAUGAGUAACAAGUAGAGAAACAAACCUCAAUAUAGGAGAUAUCUUGAUUCUGUAAGCCAAUGCAGAGCAAUAUGGAAGCCUGGGCACCUGUCAAUGUCACUGGAAGUUUCUCUUGGAAAUACAGAUGUGAAAGCGUUGGAACAAGAUCCAAAAUCUGUAAAAUAAAAGCAUAACUUUAACAUGUGUAAAGUUAUAAACAAACGAUAACUAGAGUACAAGAGGACCUCAGUUUAGAAAAUGACACUUAAUUUCAAAUUCAAAUGGACCCCAGGGUUUAAACUGUAAUUUUAAAAACAAUUCGCAGGUAAUUUGAAGAAAGUAAGGUCUGUUGGUUAAGGAUGAAAAUGCAAUAAGCCCUCGGAUCCCUCCUCCCCACUAUCAUCUAUGCCUAACAGGAGGAAGAACAUCUUGACACAUUCAAACUGGCAGCCUUUCCCAAAAAACAGAAGGAAGCAGAUAAUCCACUCAAACCAUAAUCAACAAAAAUGGACGACAUGCCAUUGACCAGGAUGCACUGCACCUUCCUGAGAACCGCACAACAAAUGGGUUCACCUCCCUCAGGGGCAUACCCACAAGGGGGUGGGAUUGGGUGGGAGGGGAAGAGAAGGGGUCUAAUAGCCUAAUCGCUGUUGAUUUCAUCUUUUUAUGUAACACAGAGCACGGGAUGAAACAUCGGCCACAGAAUCCUACACACAAAUUACUUGUAAAGUACACAAAUUCCCCUUCUCAAACAAGCAAUUUUGAACUUUUAAUGUGUAACUGAACAUAUAUAUACAUAUAAUUAGAUCAAUAACUAAACACAAUGUCCUAAUAGUUCACUUUUGAAAAAGAUUAUUCAUAAAACAUUGCAAGAGUAAUAUAUGUUCACAAUCAUGGUAUCAGAUUGUCCACAGUAAGAAAACAAAUAUUUCACCACUGUCAACUAAAAAUUGUAUCACAAUCACAAUCAUAUUGCCACACUGAGACGAUAAUUCUAUCACAAAGGAAUACAAUUUUUCUUUUGUAAUGCAAUAUUACUUUCUUUUUCUAAAGGAAAGCAUAUUUUGUCUUGUAACGCAAAUAUCUUUUUUGAUUCUAAGGGAAGUAUUUCUUGUUCUGUAAUGCAAACAUUACUUCUAUUUUUAAUAUGAAUGUAUGGAAUCAAUUAGUAAUCCUAAGAUAAAAAAAUCCCAAAACACUACAUAGCACUAUGACAGGGCAAGUUGGCAAUCAACCAUUGUUCAGAGAACUUACCAUAUGAAAGUCAGCAAGACUGCUGGUGUAGGCCUCCAGUCGCUUCAUAUCAUAAGGCGAAAGUAAGUCUGUGAUAGACCGUAAGAAUCCAUCUGUGGUAGACGAUUUGGGUUCUCCAUCCUUGUAAUUGAUCUUAGGAUCUAAGAUGCUGGAAAAUUAUUAGUUAGUACGAGCACUUGAACAAUAAGCAUUUAUCAGAAUGGAACUUUUAAUAGUACCUCAUAGCGAGCCUAUAAUCCAUUGUACGAAAACUAUAACCCAAUAGUCUCAAAAAUCUUCUCCUGAAAUCUAGGUAGCCAACAAAUAAUCAAGCUGUGAACUGAAAUACAAAAAAUCUGCACAAAUUUAAAUAGAACAAAGGUUUUCCAAAGAAAAAUGGGCCCACCUAGGUUGAAUGGACGAAAAUCACUGGUUUCAAGUUCAUCAUUCUUCAAAGAUUUGAGGACCAUACACGUAUGCUCCCCGGUCACACCACUCUAUUACAUUGAAAAGAAAAAUGAAAAAUUAUUGUUUAAUCAGUCAUUCAUUCACAAAUGAUAAUAUUCAAAAAAACAGUAAACGGAAAAAAGGAUUCAGUAUGGAGAGGGGAAUCCAUCUUAACUGGAAUAUGUCCAAUAUAGAAUGGAGCAAACUUAUGUUUCCACCAAAACCUGAAAAGGUCCAAGGUAAGCCCAAAGGAGACACCAAUAUAAUGGAGCUUCUCUGGUCGCCUUUCACGAAGAUGAACAAGCAAAUGAGGAAGAUCUGUUCUAGGUUUUAUACUUUCUUCCAGCAAUGAAACCUAUAAAUAAAAUAGACAUAGGUAUCAUUCCGAUAAACAAUAUCAAGGCACAGGCGGCAGGUUGAUUAAUACCAAACAAACAAACCAAUACAUGAUAAUAUACUUUGAUGUCAUUAUGAUUAAAAUUAACACAACAAAUGAUCAUUCACAAAAGUUUGUCAAAUUAUAUUCAAACACAGAAAUUGUUCUACAAUCACCGGAAUGAAGCUUAACCAACUCAAACACUUCGACAGAACAAGAAUUGCAUUACCAGAAACCUAUGAGUUACAAAAUUGCCUCCAAUUGCAAUAAUAAUACAUAGAAUAGUCUCGUAUAAGCAGUUCUCCAACCUAUUAAUUAAAAAUAUUUAUAAAAAAAAAAAAACUAAGCUUGGUGAUUGUAGUUCACCUUCUCAGCAGCUUCUGUGACUCUGAGUGGGGGAGUCUCAACAUCUUCAACGUCCAGUUCAGAAAUAGGAGCAAACUGUCCUUCGUAGUACCUGAGGAGAAAUAAACCCUUAACACCCAUUUUUUCAAAUAUAAAAACAUAAAUGUGAAGCAUCAACUUUUAGAACCAAAGAGAUUCAGUGCAAUUUUCAUGUCAAAACACUUUUAUCUCAAUAAUGAAGUACUUAUGAGUUACAUUGAUACAAGAGCAAUGCAUCCCACAUAUCACACACAUUCCUUAUAUCUGGAUCCCCAACAAUAGCAAUCCAAUGUCACCCACAUAGCACAUGAUACAUACCAGAGGUGUCCCUAGAAUGUCCACAUCAGCCAUUCCUUAUAUCUGUGUCCCCAAAAACAUUUGCAGUAAAAAGUACAUGGACUUAUGAGCACAAAGGGAUAACGGACAUGUAUGGGUUGACUUGAGAGAUAAACCAAGUAAAGUAAGUUCAAGAAAAAAUCUAGGACCAAAUAGGAUACAAGGUCAGAAUCAGUGUGACCCAUCUAAAAAGUUAGGACCCCACAUUAAUUUGUGCAGUCAACAACGAGGAUCCAUCUUUGGAUUAUUAUCCUAAAACGCUCUAUCUUUGGAUUAUAUCCUAAAGUGCUGCUGGUUAAGCUUGUUUCUGGUUUUUCUCUGUUGGAAAUUUCAAUUACUAACGAAAUAUCCAAUCUUCAUUUAAACAUACAGAUUUAAACUCAACUGUUGGCACUGCAGACUCUUGGCCAUUGUUGGGAUUGAAAUAAGCUAGAGUUUCUCAAGAUAAAUGCGGAUGAGGUGGGUUUUAUUUGAGAUAGCGAAUUCCAUGUGUUUGUGGAUUUAUUGCCAAAGCAAUUUGGGAAGAUCCCUGCUGUUUCCUCCAGAUGGAUGGGGUUAUAAUUUCAUUGUAACUUUUCUGAAGUAAGUUUUAGUUGGACUCCUUUUCUUUGCAAUGGACAACUUCUCCUCCUUUCCUUUAGAAAAUGCUUUGCUUUGCUGAAUUUUUCGUAACUCUUAGAAAUGUAACCCAAACUAAGAUGAAAACCCCCAACAUGACCGUAUUUUAAUAUGCUAUCACUUCUAAUCCUCUAUAUCUUUCCACUUGUUUCUCCAACUACCAUCAUAUGACUCGAGAGUUGUAUUGUGAGAAAGUCAUCUGUAUAUCAAAACUGAAAUCAAAUGAUCAUCUCUUCAGCACCCACAUGGUCUAUGUUCUAUAGCUUUCAACCCAAGUGAACUGAAAGCAUGAGACUCACAUUUUGAGUUGCGACUUUAUGUGCCUGAGCCAGGGUGCAUAUGCAUGAUUGCUUUUCAUUCAUUUUAGAAAUCAUUUGAAGCAUUGCUUCAGACAUAUAAUCUUCAAUCUUUUCACCUUUUUUUUUAUGACAAACAGUAGCGUUAGUGGGUUAAAAGUUUAUUUGUUAGGGGGAGGGGAAUCGAUGGGCAUCAAACCCGCACCAGGGUGCAUAUGCAUGAUUGCUUUUCAUUCAAAGUGUAGCAAUAUGGGGCUAAAAGAAUCACUCAGUCAAUCUUUCUCAACACCUUAGGCAUCCACAUACACAUUGGGAUCAUGUAUGUGAUCUACAAAAACGUUUAGGUGGGGAAUAACUCAAAGAGGAGCAUACCUUGUCAAUAGUUCCACUGCUUGUGAUCCAUAUCCAAUCUACAACAACGAAAAAUAAAUUACCAUUUCAACAGAUCCCUGGUUAUAGAUUACCAUUUCAACAAAAUCCUGGUUAUACAUAUUGCUUUGGAAACCAUAAUGAGAGAAUACCUUCAUGGCACUUGGAUGUGUAGCAAUUCGUACAAUCCGAGCACCUGAAAGACUGGGAAAAACUGUGUCCUGAAAUUGCUCACAGAAUUUCCAUGGUAUCUGGUCACCAGAAGGCUGAUGACCAUCACUUAAACUUUUCAUUGCAGAUUCACGAGAGAUCUUUCCCUCAAGGCAGACCUAAGAACAAAAUGAUAGCACAUAAAAUGUUGAGCAUCAAAGAAUUAGUGUUUUAUAGAAGAUGAAGUACGUGUUUAAAGUGUUGUCCUUUAUUGCUAUUUCACAUAAGGUAAAAUUAUAAAUAAAAAAACUAAUAAAAUUUUGGGUAUGCGUUAAAUAACUAAAAGAAAUAAUAGUCCUGAACUAGGGGAAGACAGUCAAACCUGAAUGACACACAAAAUAUCAGGAAGCUGAUUUUUUGACUCAUCAACAGGGCCUGCACGUGCAAAUUAUAAUCAAGUCCAGCCAAAUAGCGGCAAAAAAAGAAAGACCAGUUCUAACGUAACAUAUAUACCAAGUAGCACAAACAGGUGGUGAGCCGGGGCAUCAGCCAUUAGUUGCAAAUCAUUUGGAGAAUUUUUGUAGUGGGAGGCAACAUAUAGAGCCAUCAUCCGCUGCAAGUAUUAGAAUAUGUAAGUUCACUAAUAUGAAAAUGAGAAUCACUAGUCUGACAUUACUUGAACAUGUAAUUACCUGUAAGAACAACUCGCUAUCUUUAUGAUAUGAAAAAAGCGUAUCACAGUUUACGUAGUACAGAUCGCACUCACUGGGUGCAGGUAACCUAGCCGCCAAGAGAGAGAGAAGAGAGAGAGAGAUCAUUAAUAAAGGUAAGGGUUAUAAUGGAGAUGGUUACAUCUUCCUCGGUUCUGACUGUCUAAGCAAAUGUUUUUACCCGUUAAGUUUAGGGAUAUAAUUUGUGAUAUCCAAGCAAAGUAAACCAUGAAGCCAGGAUUCAAUCGGAUCACCAGAAGCAUAUCUGAUAGAUUCUUUCAAUUCUAUCUUUUUGAAAAGACGACCUACAAUCAGGGACAUUUAUCAAUUCAGAAAAUUAUGUCCAAAUAUCACAAAAUAGUUUUUAAAAAAUUAUACAUUGCUCACUUGCAAGCGCCAACAGUUCAAGUAUUUCAGAAACAAUAAUGUUAAGAGAAAGCAGAAGAAACAUUGAAUUUUGAAAAUAAAUUCAAGUUUUGGGGGGAAAGGGGGAUUUUGAUCCAACCUAAUUCAAGAUGAGAAUACAAAACACGGCCAAUAAGGAAUAAGCAUACCAGAUGUAGGCCCCUUAGCAGACACUUGGCUUUGCUCUUCCAAUUGCUGUAGAAGUUUUAGGGACAAAGACCGACCAGUACCUUCAUAGCUUUCAGUGUAAAAUAAAUGUCCUUUAGUAUUUAAAUUGCACUUAGAUUUUUUUUUUUUUACCAAAAGUUGAAUUCAGAGUUGACUUAUAAAUAGAAAGACAUCAAGCAUGAGUCAAGGAAAAGUGGAAACAGCCCAUGAAAAGUGAAAGAUCUUUCAUUCCCCCCCGCGGCCGUAACAGAAAGUGAAAAAGUGAAGUGAAAUAUGUUUCAUGAGACUGUUAAAACCAAAAAAGAACACAUGAUAAGAAUACACGACAUGAAGGAAGAAGAACAUGGAUGAAUCUUACCCAUUAACAGUAGAUGAAAGGAAGACCAGAUAAGGACCAAGCAAAGACUUCACUACUGGUAGUGGAAUAGCAGCUGCUUCAUCAACAACCAACAGUUCAACUUGGGAAAGCUUUUCAUGCUCAUGUGGCCGUAUAUACUGCAAGUACAAGUAACAAAAGUAAAAAACAAAUAGCCCCAAAAGCAAUGAGCAGUACAAAGUUCUUUCUUUUAGGCUACAUGAGGUGUAAAGGUCUAGACCACCUCACAAUCUCACAGGCAUGUUGAGUGCCUCUAUACCAUACAUACUGGAUUAGUGCCAGGAAGACACAUUAGGUUGACCAAAAAGUUUGGCGUUUCAGGAACAUGCUUUUAGAAGCAAGCUUCAGUAAUCACAAACCAUCUAAAUUAUGUUCAAUAUGCUCACACCAAUAACAAAAAUGAUGCACUUGGGCAAAAGUACAAUAGAAUUUUUGGAGUAGUCAAACAAAGACAACCACUAAUCAUAUAUGAGGGCAUACGACAUUUGAUGGGCAAAAGGUGAACACACUCAUGGCUAUUGUGAUGCGGCUAUCCAAUAGAAGAAUAUUCUCUAUUACAACUUGGUUAUCAACUUUUCAUGAGUAACAAUUCCUCCAUGUAUUUGUAUUUUGGUAUCAACUGACUAAACAAAAUCUUUAUUGCUAUUUUUUUAUAGAAAACGAGAUUUUAUUAAACAGCUAAAAAACAAUACAACACUUAGUGGACUAGGAAGUCCACCAUCAAAACGAAACAGCCCUGACAUAUGCCUCAACAUUCACCUCCAUCAUUAUAAAACAGAUCUGCAACUAUCUCACUGCAACUCCCCAAUCCAACAAAAUUACAUAAAAUGAAAGAUCCCAAAACCUUGGAGAGAGAGAAGCCAUAAGAAUGCCCAAUUCUUUCCCAAGAAUUCUCUUGUAAAUCCCCACUCUAAUUUUCAAAGGUUGCAAACUUGAAAUUAACAUAGAAGGUAACUGGCUUCAGAGUCAACUAGGAUAAUACUGGGCAUAUAUGCAGAGAGUAGGCAUAGUAGCAACUUUCAGGGUAUGGAAUAAUACAAAAGGAAAGGGAAGACCACAGAAUUCUCUCAGUCAUCUUAACUUGAUUUGGUACUAAGAAUAAGUUAUGUAUACACUUCCCACUGGCCCAUCUGUACGUUAAUAUAGAAAUAGAUUAUAUCCUGGCAACAAGGAAGUGAAAUACUCCUAUUUUUAUAUCAAUAUUGGGCACAAAUUAAGAGUUCAUCAAUAUAAUUUUACCUCAAUUGUAACCAACUGUGCAUAUAAGUUUACCUGAAUUGUUUGUCUGUGCUGCUUGUAUAUAUUGAUCUGUACAGUUGCUUUCUUCAACAAAGGGUCACUACUUUUCUGUACAUCAUAAUCUAUAUGUUCCUGCAAACAUAGUUUACAACUGUAAGCUCAAUAACUAGUGCACUGUUCGAAGUACAUGAUUGAAAAAUGAAGAAAACGGAGUGACCUUAUAACAAUUAAUGAAAGAUAAAAUGUAGUUCACAGAAUAAAACAUUCAAACACCACCAUCUUGAUAGUUAAACAAUUUCACUGUAAAAGCUAUUAAACUUAGCAGGAAAAAAAAUUUAAACUUUAUCUAACAUUUGAAUCUACAAUUUUCAAUUAGCAACUCUUGUCACAAAUGUUUAUUAGUGGGGUACGUUCUAAGAUAUUGUUAUUUGCUAAUUGUCGAGGAUUAUUUGGGAGUUAAAUCUCACAAGAAGGCGUAAAGAUCACAUUAGAAUUAGAUAUUUUACUAGGAAGCUAAAGAUCACAUUAGAACCACCCGCAGGAAUACAAAAAAACGACAUACCUUAUAGUCCAGUUGAUCAAAACCCUUGCAAACAAAUUCGAACAAGGUUCUUAAGUUCUCAGGGCUGGGUGCAGUUACAAAUAUAUUUGAAUACCUGUGAAGAUAUAUUUGUAUCGUCAAAACAUAGUACAUGAAUAUGAGUGUAGACAGCUACACAUACACCAAAACAGUUUUAAUACAUUGUAAAAGGCAUACUACCCUGCAGCAAUAGCUCCGGAAAUUGCCAAACCAAGUGCAGCCGAUUUUCCACGGCCUCGAGCAGCAAGCAAGGCAACAGUACUUCGGAGUGUCUUGUCCAAGAUUGCAUCAAGAAAUGUAGCAACAGCAUUUCCCUGUUGAAACAUUUACCAACUCAAACUAUGAGUCAUAUUAGUAAAUCACACAUGAUAGAAAAACUCAAAACUAAUACAAAUCAGAGAGAGUGCCUACCUGGUCCAACGUACAACAUUUCUUUAUUAAAGGGCCAACAGGAAAGGCAUCACUCAGCUGCUCUUUUAGAUCCUUCAGUUCCCUUUGUGACUCUGAUAUCCCUUCAGAGUCCUUCAAUCAUGAUCAGAAAACAAGAAAAAAGUUAUCAAAGUUAUCAAAGCUUCACAAACUCCUAGAAAGUAUCCUAAUAACCAUUCGGUAUACACACACUUGAAAAAUUACUUUUAUUCUUUUUGUCAUCUCGCAUAAGAUGCCACGAAAAUAAAGCAUUCCUCGAUUUAUCAGUUCCGUCCUAUAGAAAAGUUACAAGGCUAAAAGGUUACCUCUUUCACUGGAACUGGGGUAAUUGACCUCAUAUGAGAUGAAAUUGGUAAAAUAUUCAGCUCAUCAUCCAUUACUACACAUGAUUUGCAUGACGCAAGUGACAAUAAGAAACGCUCGUUAAAACGUCCAGUAGCCUUAGAAUGGGAUUCAGUUCGAAACCUAUCAUGAACAUCCUGAAAUCAAGAGGCGCUGAUAAGACUGUAUGGAGAUUUUUGCAUUUGAGAGAACGAGAAAGACAGUGUUGCAAAUAAAACAUGACAUAACGGAAUUGUUAUCAAAUAUAAUAUGUGGUGCAUGGCUAUUGCUAUAUUCGUUCUAAGUCCAUAAUGUAGUAAAACUAGAAACUACCUCAACAAGAAGAACAAAUAUUAUGAGGAAACCUAGUUGUUUUUUCUUCUUCUUUUUGGGGCUAGAACAUGAAAAGAAACAACUAGUCUACAUAGGCCCAACUGGGAAACUUAUAUGUUCAGCAGCAUUCUCUUAAAGAAAGUCAAGCAAUUGAAUCUACCAAAAGUCUUCUUGUAGCCAAGCACAUCAUUACGAAAAAAUUCGGAAACUUUUAACAUGGCUAGUUUUCAAGAUUUUGCGGUAUAUAAUAAGCAUAACCAUGCUGGCCUAAAAACUAAGCAUUAAUUGUGUGCAUGCGUAAGAGAAAGAGGUAUUAUUAUAUGCAUACCAUAACCAUGGUGUAGAGGUUGGUGAGUGAGGUUAGAGAAUGAAGCAACAAUAUGACUAGUCCACCUCCCUCCACUGUCUCUAUCGUUCUUGCUAGUAGAUUUGGAGUCAAGGCCUCAAAAUCCUAAUGCAGGAGAUCAAACUUAGUCAUAAAACUUAAAUCAAUUAUACAAGGGGUCUUGGCCAAACCAGUAAAUUUGUAAGUUUCAAGUUACCUGAAGUAUACACAUUCCAAAGGUAUUACCAAGAACUCUUUCUGAAUCCUUGUACAAGCAAUAAGUCAAUCCCCCACUUUCAACAAAAAGUGAGAAAGGAUCAACCUUCUCGGGAUCAAGCAGCCCCCUCUGCAUCAUCUUUUUUACUUGCUUAGCACGUUUUUUCUUGUGACUGCAUCAUGAAGUAGUCAAACGCAACGAAUCAAUAUAUUUUAAAAACGAAAUUCCGCCUUGCCUUAUAAUAAGGUGAAGAAUGGAAGGUAGAAGAAAUCAACCUGCUGAGCUCGAGCUUGUCCUUGUAGCACCACAACACAGUCGGGCGCGAUUUCUUUACUUCAUUGCUUAGCAUAUAAUGAAGAUUCACAAUCUGAAGACCAUAUAAAACUCCAUAUUAGCCAUUUUCCGUUAGUUUUCGAUAGAUUUUCGAUGAUAUUUCUUACCUUGUUUGAGGUUUUUAGUGUUACUCGGUGAGUAUUGCAGGUGAAAACAAGAAACAGUAAAACUGGUAAAAUUUUCUACCCAAUUCAAUUUAAAUCAUUGUUAUAACUCCUCAAAUUGAAUAGGAAUAGCAAAUAGGGAAUGGGAUAGGAAAGGCAGAAGAAAUUAGGAGUACCUGGUCACGGGAUUUGUCGCCGACGAUGACGAACAUGGAGCGGUGCCGGUUUUUGACGCCAUUGCUUAUUAGGGUUCGGAUUCGUUCGUCCACCUUCUUCCUCAUUCUCUCUCUCUCUUCUCUCUCUGUGCAAUUAGGUUUAGGGUUUAUACCAUAGGGCAGUUGUCGUCGUCGGGCAGGGUUUAAGCCGAACUAGUGAGAGAGAGACUAGACAUCGCGGAGAGAUAUUGAGUUCAUCUCAACCGUUGAUUGGCUAUCUGAUGGCUGUUAUCAAAGCUGACAUAAAAAUGAAAACUCAACACGUGGCCAAGUAUUUUUUUUCUCUCUUUUUUGGCUUAUUUAUUGAUUUGCCCCAGAAAUUAUUUUUUUUGUCUUACUCUAGGUCAUGAAACAGAAUUUAUCUUACUUUAUCUUCUAAAACUACCAAAAUCGAGUCAUUUCACCCAUGUUUUGUCAAUUCUAUCUCAUAAACGUUAAAUAAAAGGGAGUCUAAACAUUUCAUACCAUGCUAGCAAAGAUGAGCCACUGUUGUUGGUGAGGUACGAAAUUUUCAAACUUUCCUAAACCUUUAAAACUUAAAAGGUAUCUUGAAUAUGAACGUAAAUGAGGUAAAGUUGCUCAAUUUUGGCAAUUUAUGAAGGGUAAAAUGAGACAAAUUCAAUUUAAGGCUAAAGUGAGAGUAAAUGGCAGUUUCAUGAGAUAUAUCAAUAAAUAAAUCUUUUCUAGAAUACAACUAAAUUAUGUACUCACGGUAAAAGAUAAAUUAAUAUCGAACUUGUCAUUGACGAUAUCUAAACAUAAAACCUUUCAAGUUUUUACCUAUAAGAAUAAAUUUGGUAUAGUAAUUUCUUUUCUAAUUUAAAGUUUCCCAUAGAGUUAUGACGAAUUUGAUACCAAAUUAGGCUGUCAUUGUGUGGCAUAGCCGAAUUCCUCCUCCCUUACUUUAAAAAUAACGAUGUACUCAAAAAAAGUUUCCCAUAGAGUUAAAAUGAUCUUUAGUUGCUUGCUGAGACAACCCAUAUGUAUAAUAAGACAUUGAAAAAGGUGCCUCUGUCAUUUACACUCACACGAUCGAAUAAGUAGCUCCGACAGUUGCAUCAUAAAAUUAAGGGGUUUUCCGAGAUUGUAGUAAGGUUGACGAUUAAAGUUUGGGAAAUUUUCAGGUUAAGGAAUCAAGGGAUCACAUUUUCAAGUUUCGUAGGCAUUCUCUUUCCUUUGGAAUGGUGUUGGAAUCCGUCCUGAAGUUGCCCAUUCCUUUGCUCUUGAUUUUCAGAGUUGGAUAGCUAUAAACCUUAGGACACAUUGUACCACCAUACAUGGUUUACCUUGGAACCUUAUCUUUAAUUCAACUCUCUGGCAUUGCUGGAAAUGGAGGAAUAACUUUGUCUUCAAUGAUGGCCAACAACCGCUUGACUCACCCCAGAAUUUCAUUUUUCAAUUUGCAAGGGAAUGGUGUGAUGCGAACAAGUGUUCUUCUAGUAAGCCUCCUAGACAAAAUCAUCUCAAUCCAUUGGAUUCGUUUGCCAAUUGGUAUACAAAAUCAAUACAGAUGGGAGUUGUAAAGACCCAUUUAGCCACAUAAGUGCUGGAGGUUUGCUUCGUAAUUCUGAAGGGAAAUGGAUUAAGGGAUUUGCUGCUAAUUUGGGCAGAGGAACCAUCAUGGAAGGUGAGCUUUAAGGGUGGUUUCAUGGGACUUUCUAUAGGUUGGGAUGAGAGUUGCAAGGAAGUGAUUAUUGAAUGUGAUUCUUAUGCUGCUGUUACUUUGAUCCAACAACCUAUUUUAGUUCCCACUCUACAAUCUCAUUAUUGACUGCAAAGAAGCCAUUGAAAGAAAUUGAAGAUGUGAAGUUACUCAUAUCUAUAGAGAAAAUAAUGUCUUAGCUAAUCACACGUCUGACUUAGGUCAUGGGUUAUCACUUGGUCUUCAUGUUUUUGCUUCUCCUUCUACCAUUGCUACUAAUUUUAUAGUUUCUAAUACUAUUGGCAGGGCCCUCCCUAGAGCUGUUUUUUAGUAGCUUUUUUGUUUUGCUUGUUGGGCUUUGCCCUCUUCUGUACCCAAAAAAAAAAAAAAAAAAAAAAAUAUUGGGAAAUUUAUUUGGACCCAACUUUUUUAUCUCUACACCCAAAUAAUAUUUUCUCUUAUCUAAUCUUCCAAAUUUGUCCUUAAAUAACAAACAUUGAAGUUUUCUUUGUAUCUCUACACCCAAACCCCACGAUCCACCACUGUAGGGCGCUCCAUUAUUUCCGACAAACCCAACUCAAACGCCAGCAACACUAAAAUCGACAAAUCAAGACUGGAGAACAAAUGGUGUAGGAGUCCUAAUGUGAAUAUUAAAGCAAACUUAAGUUGCAAAACCCUUUUUUAUUUCAAUCGAUGAAAGGACCUUGGGUUAUGAACAUAAGGAACCUAUUAGGGUUUAGAGGUCCCCUCCACAUCAUAUGCAUAAGCCCUUUUUCUUCAUUCAUUAAUUUACGGAAGGGAAAAUUAAUACUAUUAUUCUCAUAAAAAGUGGGAAUACCAAGGAAAGAGAUCCUCUCCACACCAUAUAUUUUUCUUUUCUGAGUAGUUAUAUCCAAUGGAGAGAGGAAAACAAGAGCACCAAUGGUCGCAGGUUCACCGGAGAAAAUGAAGGUGCAGUGGUGAUGUGAGUUUAGGGUUAUUGGGUGUAAAGAUAACAACUUUAAUAUUUAUUUUCUCAUUUUUAUUUAUUUAAGGGCAAAUUUGAAAGUUUAGUAGAGAAAAUUUGUUAGUUGGGUGUAGAGAUAAAAAGGUUGGGUCCAACAAAAUUUCUCAUAAAGUUUAAUCACGCGAUUAAGUUCUUGUGCAAUGAGUAAAUUGUAGCAAUGACCCAUCAACUAAAAAUCCAUUAUUAUUGAUCCCUCAACUCAUCAAAAUAUGUAGUUAUGGUCAUUUUCGUCAACUUUGUAAGAAUUUUGUCAAAAUAAAUUAUGUUGGAAGGACCAUUGUUACAAUUAAGGUCCUUCAACUCAUCAAAACAUGUAGCUAUGGUCAUUUUCGUCAACUUUGUCAAAAUGAGUUAUGUUGGCAUGACCAUUAUUGCAAUUGGGUUAAAGUUGAGGAAUCAUUGCUCCAAUUGGGUUAAAGUUGAGGGAUCAUUUCUCUAGUUAGAUUAAAGUUGGGGGACCAAUGAUAAUUAAGUUUUAGUUAAGGGAUCAUAGUUGCACGUUUUGAUGAGUUGAGAGAUCAAUGAUAAUGAAUUUUUAGUUAAUGGAUCAUUACUCCAAUUGAGUUAAAAAUAAAGGACCAUUGCUACAAUUUACUCUUGUGCAAUAGAAGAUUAAUUUGGCCGAACAACCUGAUUAAGGUGCCUACUUUCUCUUUAAUUCAUUGGUAUCAUUUAUUUUCCCUUAAGCUGAAUUAUGCUCAAUUUAUGUAUCAAUAUUGUAAAGUUGUCUUUGUUAGAGUAAUUUGGACAAUAUAAAUUGAAAAUUAUUUGUGUAUAUGGAAAAGAUUAACCUCAGGGGUCACUUCGCCGGACUCCGUAGCAAUCUCCACCACUCCAAUCGUAAUGGUGAGUAAAUCACUUGUGUUUGUUUCCAUUUUUUCAAUUGGAAAUUGGGGGUUUUGAAUUCAUAUUUUGUCAAUUGGUUUUGUGAGCACUGAGAAUACACUACGAGCUUGUGUGUGUGUACAAUAUGUUGGAUUUGAUCUUUAUAAAGAAUGCGAGAAAUUGGGGUUAGGAAAGAGAAGAAAAGGAAACAGAACUCGAACUUCGAUCUUCAUUCUUGUUACUAAAGGAGAAAACCGAAUUUGAACCGGUUCAUACGUAAUCGAACCGAAUUUGUAUAGUUCGGUUCACCCCUUAGUACCGAACCGUACCAUACCAAAAAAAAUUUCUUGAGUUUGGUUUUGAUACAUCCCUCAUACUGUACCAUACCAAAUCGUGGCCAGACCUACUGAAUACAAAACUUAUAUCUGGGUCGUAAGUCGUAAGGCCUCCAAAAAAAAAGUUCAUAUUAUUCAUACCAAUCGGACAAAUCCCGCACCCAAAAACAAUGGCUAGAUAGAAAGUUCAAUUAUAGAUUAGGUAAUCUAUCCUUUUCAACUUAAAUGCACAUUCAUGAUGGUUAUGCAAAUCAUAUUAUGUUAACAAAUGCAACAAUUAAUUAUAUUUAUCCAUUUGGAAUGAUAUAUAUUUUCAAAGAUGGAAUUACAGACCCCGUUGACGUUGAGGCCAUUGCAUGAGAGAAUUUUAGAUGAUUUUCAAUUAAUUUAUAUUAUUGUUGUGAUAACCAUAAUAAUUAUUUUCUAAAUGUAAAACUAUAUUAAUGAAAUUUUCUUUGUCGGUCAAAAGAAGAUGAAAAGAUAUCUUUAUCUUCUAUCACAACAAAAAAAUUAAGGAUAUUAAUGUAAUAGGCUAAUAGCGAUGGGGUGAAGAAAUGGAACUAUCCUAAAUAGGCAGUUGCUGGUUAUAUUGGAUCAGGUGGUCUGAAUGAUUGGAUAAUUAGCAAAUAAAAAGGUUCCAUUUUUCAUGGACCCUCAAGUGGAAAUAUGGGAUAAAAGAUGGCAUAUACCAUUUUAUCCAUUUGUGAUUGUACAUUUUGAUGGUUGUGAUUUCACCCGAUGGCGCGGCAAGUGUGGAUUGGGAUAAGGAUGGUUUUGGUCUAUCAUCAAAGAUGGUUUGAUGUUCACGACUGGAUUUUACAACGCAUCCAAGUGCAUGGGUUCUAUAAAUACAGAGUUGCGCACAAUAAAAAAGUACAAAGGACCUUCAAACCUUUCACACACUCUGAGAAACUCCUGAUUCUCCCAACUUCGUCAACACAUCUUCAAUUUGGAUUAACAUCACUGUUUGUCAGUGAGGAGUCCUUAGUCUUCUCGUCUCAUUAGCCCUCUAGGUGAAGUGAGGUGUUACUGAAUUACUUGAGUAUUCAGCACAUUGAAAGUCGAACCUUAUUUGAACUUCACAGUAGUUAGCAAUCUUAUCUUCAGGUUUUAGAACCCAAUGCCAAGACAUAUUCCUUCCUCGACAGUGAUGGUUUGUACACAAAAGUUGGUUUGUACACAUAAGUCAGUAUUGUGUUUGACACACCAUCCCAUUCAUUCUACUAGCCCACAAACGCGUGGACUCGUCCAAAAUUACCCCACUCUCGGCCCGUUCACUUGCCCACUCGUCCCACGCGGCCCGUGAGUCUUCAGUGCCUGAUAGGGGGGCCUACUGUUAGGGCCGUUGUUGGCCACAACCCAGAGCCCAACGAUUUUUUUUUGCAUCCCACGACUGGCAUUUUUGGACCGUUGGUUGAUCCAACGGUCCAGAUUCAAAUUUUGUUUUUUUAAAUGUUAUUUUAAAAUACAUUGAAUCCAACGGCUGAGAUCGAAUAUAAUCAAAUCUAACGGUAAAAUAAAAAAAGAUAAAAAAAGAUAUAACAGUCCAAAUUUAAAUCCAACAGCUAAAAUAAUUUUAAAAAAAAUUAUUUAACUCAAAAUUCACCCAAAAACUCUAUAAAUACCUUUGUAUUUGUUCAAACAUCCACACAAAACUCAAUUUUCUCCCACAAUUCUUCCAUUUUUUCUUUCUACCAUUUCUUUCCAUUUCCAAAUUGUUCAACACGAUCCUUGAAUUGGCCAUCCCAAGCAGUAAGACAAUUCUUCCACUCCCAAAGCAUACAAUCGAGACUUCCUAUCAUGUCAGGAAAGCCUAUUUUGUCUGCUUUGAGUAGAAUGUGACGACAUGUCCCGAAUUAUUAUAUAUUUUUCUCCCUAAGUGUGUAAAGUGACGGUAAUGCCCUCGUGAUUUAGUGACGUGGAUGUACAUAUGUAGUUUUAAAUUAUUAUUUCUAUUGUCGUAGUUAAAUUGUACUCGACGCCAUGAGUGUGUUGAUGUGACCUAGGGCUAAAACAAAUUCGUAACGAAGAAGUUACGAACAGACGAGUGUGUAAAUGCGUAGAAAUAUAUUUUUAUGGGUUGGCUAUACCUUACCCACCAAUCACCUUAAUUCCUGAUUUCUUUGGCCUAAUUGAAUUAAAAAUAUCUCUCAUUUUUCCUUCUGCCCAAUCACGCACAUACACACCAUCACUCUCUCUCUUCUCUCGGACCUUCUUCUUCUUUCUUCUCAUUCCGUACACCCGAGCCACCCUUACCUCACAAUCAUCAUCAAAACAUUAUGGAUCGAAUUGGAAAUCACUACCAUCGCAGUCACCUCGAUCCCACGAACUCAUUGAUACCCUUAGGUCGAGGAAUAGACGUCGGGAAUUCGAGAACUCGGGAGCUCUGGCGAGGUGUAUUUUUCUACUUUGUGAUCGUGGUCUUUUUCUAUGGUUUAAAGGCUUGAGGUGGGUCCUAAUCAACUUUAUAGGGACCCUAGAUUAGUUUUGGAGCAGUUUGAACGUUGGAAUAGGUGAGAACAUGGAGUUGCAGGUUGGCCGGUUGAUCCAAGCCUUACUCCGACCACUUUCUGUCGGUUUUAGAACCUCAAGUAGGUAAGAUUGUAUUCUUCUAGUUGAGAGUUUCAAAUCCAUAUAAAAUUCAUGGAAUUUGGUUGAAAAAUGAUGAAGAUAUUAAAGUUUUAAGAUUUUUCCAAAAAUCAGCGACACAAACGGCGCCCGACGGCCAGCGAUGGAUUCCGACAAAGCCAUCGGAGAAGGAGGAGAAUAUUAUGUCUAACUUUGACAGAAUAUACUAACAGCGUCAGGUAACUCUAUUAGUUUUUAAACAAAAUAUUCUACUAUUUAAUGAAAUAUUCCCUAACGCCGUUAGGGAUUCCGUGCCUGCACGUGCCGGCUUAUGAGGGCGCGUGAGACGUCAGGAAAUUAAUCUAAAAAUAUUGGGGUGUUCGAGUUGUUGAGUAGGUCAUGUUGGUAUAUUCAAACACCCUAUUUGAGCAACGUAUGAGAAGUUAUUCCUAGGGUUUGUGUAUGUGCCUUAAAAUUAAUGUAAAAUUAGUUAUUUCGCAUAUAGGUGAGACUUACCCGGAGGACAAACGUGGUCAAACGAGACUUGGGGGCUACGAUCCUACUACUUACCAGUGAGCGGGCUUUUUUUUUCUAUAUAUAUGUAAAUAUGCUUAUGAAUCCCAUAAACUACUUUAAAUGAACGUAUGUUUUAAAUGCCAUGUCGUGUGCAUUAUGUGUUAGUAUUGCAUUAGUAUAGCUAUGCAUAGUAUUGGAUGAGACUGCGCAGACUCAGGUAAGUUUCAGGUGAGUACAUCAUGAUGGUAUUGGGUGCGUGUGUGUGGUUAUACGUUGAUGCAUUUUGAGCUUAUUAUCCUGCACAUUGGUGUUAGUGUUCUCGCCCAUGGCCAGGGCAUAGUUUUUCACAUGAUGUUCACCUCCUGGGCCGCACGCUCACUUUGGAUCCAAGUUUGGUGCACAGCCAUAUUGCACAGACCACAAUAGGUGGUUCCGACUCGUAGGUGACCUGCAAUUAUUUGCACAGCCUUCACGUGAUCGUAGCACUUAAGCGUACUUAUCUACACCCAGCCCUGUUGUACAGACCACAAUAGGUGGUUCCGACUUAUGUGCAUGCAUACUUGAUGAGCUAUAGAUUCAAUUGUACAGGUUACAUUAGGUGACUCCGGUUGGCAUACUAUUUUAGGUUGAUUCGUAUCACCUGGCUUACACAUUUUAUGGUUGAACAUCUUGACAUGGCAUACCUCUGUUUUCACUGCUCUAAGCAUUAUCCUUAUGUACCUAGUUGUUAUUAUUUUCUGGAAAAUUAUAUGGGUUUACAGUGAGGGGUUAGUAUGUUCAUAAAGACAACUGUGUUUUCAAAAACUUUGUUUUUGCCUACUCACAUUUUUUGUUUUGCACCCUUUCAGGUUCUAGGUAGUUGGUCAUCCUUGGUGGCUCACGAGGACUUUCACGGCGGUUCUGACAUCUCUGUAAAUAAGUAGGGAUUUUUUUCCCUGUUUGUAUAAUUAGUACUUAGUUGGUUCGAUUGCACUUUCGUUUACCCAUGCUCUGAUAUUUGUAUAACUUGCUUGGUCAUCUUUACUCACUUAUAUUAUCUUAGUUUAGAUAAGUUUGGUUUUAGGUUUUUAUUUAUUCGCAUUUCUUUUAUUAUUACUUCUGUUGCGCAUUUUGGCUACGUUACUCUUACGUGACGGGCAUCAUGUUUCGACUUCGGUUGGGGUGUGUCAUAAAAGCCUCUUCAAGUCUUCAUGAUUUGGCUUGCAGAGAUAUGUGGCUCCAUAUGUGGCCUGAAUUGCCCCACAGAAGCGCUCCAGGUUUUUAAUAGCAGUAGUCUCCGCAAGUCGGCAAUACUCAUCAGUUGAGUUUGCAGAGCACUCAUUAGCUAGCAUCCGAAAUGCAGAUGUGAGCUUCUGAUGAGGUGAUAGACUUUGUCGGCCUACGACAUUUAUCUUCCUUGCAAAGUAGUGGUCAUGAUUGACAACUGUGUUCAAGAUGCUUUCAAAAAUCUCUCUCCUCAUUCGAAACCGUCUCCGAAAAUCAUGAGCAGGAAAUCUCGGACGCUCAAUAAAAUAAUAUUUCAUCAUUCGGUCAUGACACUCUUCUCUAUCACGUUGCACAAAUGAACGCUUCGUGACAUAACCACAAUAGCUAGAUUCGACAUGGUGCUCAUAUUGCAUAAGCGAGUUUGGAAGUUUAGCUUAUGCGUUGAUCAUUUUUGAAUCCUCAAUGUCAAGGCUUGCUUGGUAUUAUGUCAUUUGCAUUGCCCUGCUACACCUUCUUCUAUCAUCCAUUGUUGAUAUAUUGAGGAUUUUUAUGAAACAAAAACACUUUGAAAGUUGAAAGAUUAGUGAAUAUAGGGAAUGAUUGAAGGUUGAAAGAUUGUGUGACCAACUGAUAUUGAACAUGUGUUUAUAUAGAGGAUGAUUGAUGAAAGUUGAAAGUUUGGUGAAAGUUGAACGGUUGGUGAAAGUUGAAGAUUUGUGAAAGUUAAAGACUUGCUUUGUGGAAAGAUUUAGUGAUUUUUUCAAUAUUUAUUGGAAUUUAAAUAUUUUUAUAUUAAAAUGUUCAUAAAAUUAAUUUACCAUAGGCUACAUAAUUUUUUUUAAAAGUUAAUUUAAGAAAAAAAAUUAGCCUAAGUUCAUUCUUUAAUAAUCCCGAACUAAAAUUUUAGGCUAGGGUUGGAGCAGAAAAACUGUUUCUGUGUUAAAAGCUAAAUUUUUUAGAUUAAAAAUUUUAAAUUUUAACCCAAAGGUUGGAGAUGAUUUAAGAAUGGAUAAACUUAACCAAGAAAAGAAGAAAAAAGAUGAAGGGCAAAUAAGUGAGAAGCAACAUGACACGACACACGGACGACCAUAGCAAUAAAGCGUGCGUCCUCACGUCCAUUGAAUAUAUAGAUGGGAGCUACAACAUCGUGUUUCACGUGCAUGUGUAUUAUACAUAAAGGCAUAUACAGUGUUAGCUUAUAUAUUAUAAAGUUUGUAGGCCACUUACCCAAUUUGGCAUAUGUUUUAUCUUUUUACGUGAAUAACCAAUGUGUUAUGAUGAUACAAGUCUCUUAACAUAUCCGGAGUUAGAAAUAUCAUAAGACAGUGUUGCGAUCAUAUUGAAAUUAAUUGACAGUUUGUAUUAUAUAUUUGAUUAUUCUUUAUUAACUUAAGGAGACAGCAUACUUAGACCUAAUUUAGUCACAUUCUCCAACCGAAAAUAAAGCGGUGUAGUAUUCAUACACUUUUUUUUAUUUCUUACACAGUCUUAAUUAAUUUCUAUUGUUUGAUCUUCUUCAAUUCAUUCGAUCUGACGACCGAAAAUUAAGAUGGUGUGUGGACGAGUAAAUUAUAACAAUGGUCCCUCAACUUUAAUCAAAUUGGAGCAAGGGUGCUCAACUAAAAAUCCAUUACCAUUGGUUCCUCAACUCAUCAAAAUGUGUAGCUAUGGUCAUUUUCGUCAACUUCGUUACAAUUUUGUCAAAAUAAGUUAUAUUGGAAUGACUAUUGCUACAAUUGGGGUCCCUCAACUCAUCAAAACGUGUAGCUAUGGUCAUUUUCAUCAAUUUCGUUAGAAUUUUAUCAAAAUGAGUUUUGUUGGAAUGACCAUUGCUACAAUUGAAUUAAAGUUGAGGGACUAUUAUUUCAAUUGAGUUAAAGUUGAAAGAUCAUUUCUUCAGUUGUAUUAAAGUUGAAGGAUCAAUGGUAAUGAAUUUUUAGUUGAGGGGACUAUAGCUGCACGUUUUAAUGAGUUGAGAGAACAAUAAUAAUGAAUUUUUAGUUGAAAAACUAUUACUUCAAUUGAGUUAAAAUUAAGAAACAAUUGCUACAAUUUUUUUAUAUGGAAAGUGGAUGAUGUGAAUAGCACAUCCAAAAAUAAAAGGGAACUUUAACGAAAAGCACCCGGUACUGUUCACUUUAACGAAAAACCACAUUUUUACACUAAAAAGUCAAUCCUGGUACUAUUCACUUUACCCUUUAUUUUGUCCUUAUCAUUAAAACUCAAAGUUUUCAAGCCCUUUUCAUUAGUUUUCCUAAAAUAAAAUGCACCACAAUUUGGUAGGAUCUUCCUGUUGAGAGUAAUAAAUUAAUAAUUGCCGAAAUAUUGGAUAAUUUGUCGGCCACAACGCUAUGAGGGAGUAUCUGGGGAUGAAUAUACUCUUGCCGACAGAUGCCCAAAUUCCAACUGCCAUUCAAAUGAGCCCUCCACCACCACCGGCCAUAAUAAAUUCUCUUUCUUUAGUGAAGAAGAAAAAGAGGUACUUGGCCCUCACCUCAACUUUUUGAGAAAGAACAAGUUUAUCGCUAUCAGAAUGUUUCGGUCAAUUAUAUAAGUUAUGUGUAAAUUUUUCUUUAGAUAACAUUACAUUAUUAUAUUUAAAAUGUUCCGUAACGAUAAAUUUGUUUCAUACAAAUUAUUCUCCAACUUCUUGGAUUUUUCUCCUUUUUCCCGAAAACCAGCUUAUAUUAGUGUUCAUCCUCUGUCAAUAUCACUCGCCCACAACUAUUCAACUAACUUUUAAUAAUUUGACAACGUGUCAUAUUUUUGUGCAAAGCGGGCCCAUUUUUGUGGGUGAUAUAAUAAUGGCGUAUGUGGUUUGUCAAGACAUAUACUCAUUUAUCCAUUAGCAGUUAGGUAAGUCACCUCACUCACCCACAGCCUAACACAUCAACAAAUAUUGCUUACAAAUUCUAGAAAAUUCGACCAAGAAAAAAAACCAAAUGCUCGCAAAUUAAAAUUGUGUAACAUGAUUAGUUUUUUAUCCAUUAGUAUUAAUUUUACGUUGGAAGAAAUUCCAAAUUUAUUCUUGUAAAGAGGGAUAUGAAAAUACUUUGUAUGUCUAUCACCAAAAUCUUCGAAUGUUUGAAUGGUUGAUUUUCAAGUCUCACACAAUUGGAUUUAGUUCAAGUGAGAAAGAAAUACACUCAAACUAUUAGAUAUGAGGAAUGAAAAUACACUACAAAAUCUUGUGAACAUUUCUAAUAUUCUCUUCUAUCUACUUUUUGUGAACCAAGUUUUUAUUUGUUUUUUUUUUUAACAAAAGAUAUUUUUUAUACUAGGGAAAUAAGGUGGGUUUAGCCUCAUAAUGGGCUAACAUAAUCUAGUUCAAACUUGCAUUUGGUGAGAAUCGAACCUAAAAUCUCUCACUUACAAGUGAAGAGGAAUACCAUUAGAAGUGUCAUGAAAUUAGCAGUCUUAUAUGUAAAAAAUUGAUUGACUAAAUGCUGUGUUAAAAAACAAGAUUAAUACUUGCAUCUCCCCACUUGGAAAAUGCAAAUAUUUCAUUUCUUGCAAAUAACGUAUAUCAUGCGUUCUGUUCAAUCGCAUAUUCAAAAAUGUUAAAAACAAGAUUAAUAUUUCUAUCUCCCCACUUGGAAAAUGCAGUAUUUCAUUUUUUACGAAUAACGUAUAUCCUGUGUUCCGUCCAAUCGCGUAUUAAAAAAAUGUGUGAAGUUUGGAUUAACUACACUCUUUGAGAAUUUCCUUAAAUAACCACUUUUUGAAAAUUUCUUAUAGGACUAAGUGAGUCUCCGCUGAGAAUUUCCUUAACUAACACAACACUACUUGAGUGAUAAUUUGUUAUAUCUUGAAUAGAGAAUAAAUCAGUUCCCUACUUUUGAAGGUACUAUUAACUUACACUAUAUUUGAAUGAGAACAAUAAACUUAGAAUUUAGAUGAAGGAAAUAAAACAGUUUCCUACUUUUGAAGGUACUACUCGAGUGAUAAUUUGUUAUAUCUUGAUAACGUGUCAUAUUUUUUUGCUAAGCGGACCCAUUUUUGUGGGGUGGUAUAAUAAUGGCGUUUGUUGUUUGUCAAGGGCAUAUACCCAUUUAUCCAUUAGCAGUUAGGUCACCUCACUCACCCACAACCUAGUACAUCAACAAAUAUUGCUUACAAAUUCUAGAAAAUUCAACCAAGAGAAAGAAAACCAAAUGCUCGCAAAUUAAUCUGUGUAACAUUAGUUUUUAUCCAUUAGUAUUUAUUUUACAUUGGAAGAAAUUCCAAAUUUAAUCUCGUAAAGAGGGAUAUGAAAAUACUUUGUAUAUCUAUUAUCAAAAUCUUUGAAUGUUUGAAUGAUUGAUCAUCAAGUCUCACACGAUUGAAUUUAGUUCAAGUGAGGAAGAAAUACACACAAACUAUUAUAUAUGAGGAUUGAAAAAUACACUACAAAAUCUUGUGAUAACAUUUCUAAUAUUCCUUUCUAUCUACAUUUUGUGAUAAGUUUUUUUUUUCCUUUUUUGAACAAACUAUAUUUAUCUACAUUAAGGGAGAGGAGGUGAUCUUAGCCUCACAAUGGGCUAGCAUAAUGUGGUUCAAAUUCGCCUUUGGCGAUAAUCGAACCUAAAACUUAUCAUUUACAAGUAAAUAGGAAUACCACUAGAUGGAUCAUGAAAUUAGCAGUCUUAUAGGUAAAAAAAAAUUGAUCGACUAAAUGAUGUGUUAAAAAACAAGAUUAAUACUUGCAUCUCUCCACUUGAAAAAUGUAGAUAUUUCUGUGAACACGGAAAAUUCCUGAAACGAAAGAGACAAGAACAACGUGCACAAAAUAAUAUUUUGGUGUUAAUGGAUUUGUUGGGUUACGAUCUCUUUUAACUUGAUCCUCUGAUUCGAUCUCCGUAAGGUGUUGAUUUAUGGAUGUUUCGUUGAUCCAAGGGCUGUUGAGGCUUGAUCUUAGAUGAACUGUUGGAAGUUUCUUCAAGGGGCCGUGGGCUUGAUCUUUGAAGGUGGAUUUGAGCGGAUCUUCAAGGAGCCGUUGGGGCUUGAUCUUGAGGAUGAGUGUUUCUUCAAGGGCCGUUAAGGCUUGAUCUUGAAUAACGGUGAUGAACGGAUCUUCAAGGGCUUUUGGGCUUGAUCUUGAAGAACGGUUGGAUGUGUGGAUUUGUUGAUGUUGUUGAUCCAAGGGCCGUCGGAGCUUGAUCUUGGAAGAACGAUGAACGAAGAACGAAGAACACUUUCUUCAAAGGCCGUCGGGGCUUGAUCUUGAAUUGGUGAUUGUUGAUCCAAGGGCCGUCGGGGCUUGAUCUUGGAAGAACGAUGAACGAAGAACGAAGAACACUUUCUUCAAGGGCUGUCGGGGCUUGAUCUUGAAUUGGUGAUUGUUAAUCCAAGGGCCGUCGGGGCUUGAUCUUGAUUCUUCGGGAUGAACGGAUGAUGAACAAUGAACACUUUCUUCAAGGGCCGUCGGGGCUUGAUCUUGAAUUGGUGGAAGUUCUUCAAGGGCCUUUGGGGCUUGAUCUUGAAGGUGGAUGAUUGUUGAUCCAAGGGCCGUCGGGGCUUGAUCUUGGGAUGAACAGUUGUGUGGAUUUGUUGAACACUUUCUUCAAGGGCCGUCGAUGCUUGAUCUUGAAUUGGUGGAAGUUCUUCAAGGGCCGUUGGGGCUUGAUCUUGAAGGAGGAUUUGACGAAGAACGAAGAGGGCUUUCUUGAUCCUUCGGGAUUUGCUUGAAUUUGGGAGGUUGGAUGCUUGAAAGCUUUAGAGUUUCAAAGCUUCAAGGAUUUUGGAUGUGUGGGGAGUAUUCUCUUCCAUUUUGGGAGUAGAGAAAUGUAUUUGUGAAUUGGUUUUUGAUACCUUGAUGUAGAAGCCUAUUUAUAGGCUUUGAGAAUGAAUCACCACCACAAAAUAUUUUUUUUCUUUUCCAAGCACCAUUGCCUAAUUUCCCACUUAAUACAAUUUUAAACUUGAAGUGGUAAUUUUAUGGCCUAAUUUUCCACUUAAUAUCAUUUUAAACUUGAUAUGUGCAUGCUUUGUCAUUGCCCAAAAUGAGAAGAAAACCUUGUUUUGAUCUUCAAUGAAUUGAAAUGUGCUUGCCUUGUCAUUGCCCAAAAUGAGAAGAAAAACUUGUGUAAUCCUUCAAGGGUAUUUCUUUUUAUUUUGUUGAGUCGCACACCAUGUGUACAAUUUGUAUGACACGUGGCAUAUGCCAUGUACGCCUUGACACGUCAAAAUUUUAAUGCGUUGGUGAACAUUUAUUUCACCGCAAUUUCGGUGUCUACAAAUGCCCCCACUUCAAGGUGCGUCGUAUACAUGUGCUUGUCACGUGUAGGAGAUGCGUUUUGAAGUCCCUUACUGUAGAUGUCAAUCCAAUGGCCAUCGAGGCUUGAUCUUGAAUUGGGCUGGAGAUUUCUUCAAGGGCCGUUGAGGCUUGUUCUUGGACUUUGUUUGAAAUUUCUUCAAGGGCCAUCGAGGCUUGAUCUUGAAGGUUGAAAUUGGACCACAAGGAGCUUCAUGUGGUAGAUGAUCUUUGGCUUUGGUAGUGGAUGAAUCGGCACGUAUUUGUUUUUGCGCUUUGUUGACUUUCCACAGCUUUGAUCUUGAACUGGGUUGGAGGAUUUUUUGGAUUCCUCCAAUUGUUGAUUUUCCACAGUUUAUUCUUGAACUGGAUUUGAUUCAAAUAUGGUGGACGCUUGAUCUUGAAUCGGACUUGUGAUUUCCUCAAGGGCCGUCGAGGCUUGAUCUUGAAUUUGGCCGGAAACUUCUUCAAGGGCCGUUGAGGCUUGAUUCUUGAAGGUUGACUCGAACACAUGGCAAGCAGGCACGAGGUGAAGGUGACGACUUGUUGCUUUGUUCAAUCUUUCUAAUUCACACCUGAGCAGUUUGGUCAACGGUAUGAUCUUCAAGAUUGAUGGGCUCUUCUUCCAGUUGGUGAUUUGAUCUUUAAGGAUUUGAUUCAAGGGUGGUGAAACGGCACAUGCAGCCCACAACGCCUAGCAAGUCGACCCAAGAAUUUGAGGGUUAAAACGAGUCCUCCACCCAGAGUGAUUGCAAACCUGAUGAUAUGAGAUACUUUUGAUUUUGAAGAAGUAGCGGAUGAAUCGGCACGUGCUUUGUUGUGCUUGUCUCCACAUGCUUCAAUGUAUCAUUUUCCCUUGUCUUAUCUAUUCUUCUAGCAGAAUGUAGCAUCUUCUUAAGUUCUUCAACUCAGACUCCUUCUGCUGAGCUGACUGUGCAGGCUGCAUUAUUCUCUGCUUGUUUCUUUAGGCAGAUGUGGCAGCUUCUUGAGUUCCUCAGCUCGGACUCCUUCUGCUGAGCUGAUUGUGAAGACUGCAUUCUUAUCUGCUUGUUUCUUCUGUACGUUGUCUCCACAUGCUGCAAGGUAUCAUUUUCAAUUGCCUUAUUUGUUUUCCAGGCAAAUGUGGCAUCCGAGUUUGAGUGGAGGUUCUGGCAUAUUGUUUUCUUUAUCCUUGUCUUUGUAGGUAAGAACAAGGACAAAGGAAAGGACAGGGAGAACGCAUGAUAUGAUAUACUCUUGCUUUCUACCCUGGUGAUAUGAGAUACUUUUGCUUUGGUGUCAUUUGUUUGCAGAGGUACCCCAAGGAAUAAGAAACACUGAGUGACUCGAGAGGCUUUGUUGGGAAGGCAUUCUAGGAGAUGAAGAAAGGUUCUUGGAGAUGAAGAAAGGUUCUCGGAGAUGAAGAAAGGUUAUGUAUGUCUGCCUUGCUAUGGAGGGUAAAGGUGGACAGUUAUAGGAAAUUCUUUAGUACCUGUAGAGGUACUAUUCUUUUACUCGUGUCGGCAACCAAUGUGUGAUUGAUCAGUAUGGCUUCACGUGUUUUCUUCUUUAUCAGAAAUCUUCGACAAAUUGUCCGUAAUUUUCGUCAAGCUGAGUGUGCAUGUGACAGGUGUUGACGAGGCUGAAAAAGACUGGUGCCUCUUCGAUAUCUGGGAUCGGCGCUUCGACAAAUUGCCCGUGAUUUCCGCAAAGCUGAGUUUGCGCGUGACGGGUGCUGACGAGGCUGAAAAAGACUGGCGCCUCUUCGAUAUCUGGGAUUGGCGCUUUAACAAAUUGCCCAUGAUUUCUGCAAAGCUGAGUUUGCACGUGACGGGUGCUAACGCGUCUGGAAAAGCAAGAUGCUUCUCCGAUUUCUGAGCUUGCCUCUUUGAUUUUUGAAUUGGCCUCUUCGAAUUCUGAGCUCGCCUCUUCGAUCUUUGAAAUCCCAUCGAGUGUUGAUCUUUAUAGAGGCACGCAGUUCGUUUCAAAGCACACUUGAAUUUUCGCUUGUAGAAACUCCCUUCUUGCACUUCUAAGAUCUUGAUUUGUCCGACCUCUUCUUUCUUCAACACCUUUGAAAAUGUCUGGACCCUCCGACCGUCAUUUUGAUUUGAACCUUGGUGAAGAGGUAGUCCCGUCUUCUCCAGAUAACAUAUGACGCCCAUCUUUCAUAUCCCCUACUGGUCCUCUUACCGUUGGGGAUUCGGUGGUGAAGAAUGAUAUGACCGCUGCGGUGGUGGCCCGAAACCUUGUCACUCCCAGAGAUAACAGACUACUUUCCAAACGGUCUGAUGAGUUGGCUGUUAAGGAUUCUCUGGCUCUCAGUGUGCAGUGUGCAGGUUCUGUGUCUAAUAUGGCCCAACGCCUAUUUGCUCGAACCCGUCAAGUUGAAUCAUUGGCGGCUGAAGUGAUGAGUCUCAAACAGGAGAUAUUAGAGGGCUCAAGCAGAGAGAUAAACAGUUGCAUAAGCUCGCACAUAGCUAUGCGACAAACAUGAAGAGGAAGAUUAACCAGAUGCAGGAAUCUGAUGGUCAGAUUUUACUUGAUCAUCAGAGGUUUGUGGGUUUGUUCCAGCAGCAUUUGCCUUCGUCUUCUGGGGCUGUACCGCGUAAUGAAGCUCCAAAUGAUCAACCCUUGGCUCCUCUUCUUCCUGGAGUUCCGCCGAGUGGUGUGGCUUCAAACAGUCAACCUCCGACGCCUCUCAUUUCUGGAGCUCUGCUGAGUGGUGAGGUGGCACCUAAUCGUCCUUGAAGAUCCCCUCUUGUAAAUUUGAUUUGAUUUUUUUUUAAGUAUGUAUAAUGCAAAUUUAUGUAAAAUUUCCAGAAAAAAUAAAUAAAAACGGACUUUAUUUCUCUCAAUGCAUUUGUUUUGUUUUGUUUUUGUUUUUUUUGUUUUUUUGUUUUUGUUUUUUUUGUAAAUACAUAAUAACAUAUGUAUUUAUUUAUUUAUUCUUUUGUAAUAAAAUUGACUUUCUUUAAUAAAACUUUUAUAUUUUUCUUAUUUAUUUUGAUAUGACUGAACUCGAAAUUGAAUGUUCGAGCCGCCUACGUACCCUUCCAAAGAAGAGAUCAAGCCAUAACGUAGUUCAAAUGAGUGAUGAAUUUAAUAGUGAUUUUGAUGAUGAUUUUGCCGUACACAGUUUAUGCUCUUGUGGGCCAGGAGCUUUGGUGUUGCCUUUUAUGCUCGUGCAGACCAGGAGCGUUGAUGUCGCCUUUUAUGCUCGUGUGGGUCAGGAGCGUUGAUGUUGCCUUUUAUGCUCGUGCAGACCAGGAGCUUUGUGCCAUGCAGUUUAGACUCGUGCGGGCAAGGAGCUUUGGUUCGUGCAGUUUAGGCUCAUGCGAACAAGGAGCAUUGGUUCGUGCAGUUUAGGCUCGUGCGAACAAGGAGCAUUGGUGUUGCCUUUUAUGCUCGUGCAGACCAGGAGCUUUGUGCUAUGCAGUUUAGACUCGUGCGGGUGAGGAGAAUUUGUGAAUUUUGUCAAGCACUUUUGGAGAGGCGUUCCUUACAAUCUUCAUAGCAAGGAGCCUUGACCGAGUGAUUGAAGAAGUCUUCGGGAAAGAAGUCGCACAUCGUGAUGGCAACAGACGAUCUUUGUGUCGUAAUUUCAUCAUCUUCAACACGUUCACGUUGCUUUGAAGGUUGACAAGAGCUGCUUUGCCCCCUUUCCGAUUGGCGGACUUGUGGAGGAGACGUAUGCUUCUUGUGCCAUUUCUUAGGAGUGACUUGAGUCCAUCCUUCAAGUUUGCUUGUUUUGGAGGAUGCCCCCGGCGGUUGAGGUGAAAAUUUUGUGUUGAAAGAGCCAGAAGUGAUGGUGGUAUAGUUUGACUUCACCACAUCGUCAAGAUCUAGCUCGAUGAUUCCUUUCUGAGCCCACUUUAUGAUGAGAUCUUUCAGCACAAAGCACUUUUCUGUCGGAUGACUGAUGAAGCGGUGGAAUUUACAGUAUCUUGGACUGUUGGUACGAUUCAUCUCUUCCGGCCAUCUGCACUCAGGCAAACUGAUCACCUUCUUGUCCAACAGGUCAUCCAACAUGGCAACCACAUCAGAGUCAGGGAAUGGAUAAGUCUUCUCUUUAAGCUCCUUCAAAGUGCGUCUACGCAUCUCUUGAUCACGAAAAGCUUCGGUUUGAAUCGUUUUGCCUCGUGUGGAGAUUUUGACGGGAGAUGUGUUGACUGUCAUUGCUUCCUUGGUGGAUUUCCACGUAGCCUUCUCCACCUUUGUCUCAAGAAUUUUGUCGUUCUUGUAGUCGGCGAUCGGUUCCUUCUUCCCAUGAUGGGUGAUGCUCAACUCCAUGUCAUGGGCGUGGGUGGCCAAUUCCUCGAAGGUCCGUGGUUUAAUGCCUUGAAGGAUGUAUUGCAAACCUCAUUGCAUGCCUUGGAUGCACAUCUCGAUUGAAGAGGUCUCCGAGAGCCUAUCUUUGCAGUCGAGGCUUAGAGUGCGCCAUCUGUUGAUGUAGUCAAUGACCGGCUCAUCUUUCCAUUGCUUCAUACUUGUGAGCUCCAACAUGCUUACAGUGCGGCGGGUGUUGUAGAAGCGGUUGAGGAAUUCCCGCUCCAAUUGCUCCCAGCUGUUGAUGGACUCAGGCUCUAGGUCCGUGUACCACUCAAAUGCGUUUCUUUUCAGCGAGCGCAUAAACUGCUUGGCGAAGUAGUCCCCCUCCGUCCCCGCGUUGUUGCAAGUUUUGACGAAAUGUGCAACGUGCUGCUUUGGGUUUCCUUUUCCAUCAAACUGCAUGAACUUUGGUGGUUGAUAUCCCAUCGGCAUCUUUAGGGCAUCAAUCUUCUUUGAAUAAGGCUUUGAGUACAACCCGGAGGUAUUUGAGCUCCCUUCGUACUAUGCCUUGACGGUGCUGGCAAUCAUCUCUUGCAACUGUUGGAUAGAAAGAGAUCCCAUGAGUGCCGCUUCUUGGUCUGGCUCCGGCUUCACAUCGAUUUUCUCCACCGUAGGCUCAUCUUCUGGGUUAGGGUUCUCGCUGUCCUGUGGCUCCAGUUGACUGAUGAGUGCAGCGAUUUGCAAGUCUUUUUCUUCCACAGUUCGGGUUAGCCUUGCGAUUGCUUCAUUCAUUUGAGCCAGUUGUUCUUCGAUGGAGGUAACGCCGAUGGUCAUGACUUGUGCAACCAAUAGACGUGACUUUCCUUUAGACAUCCAAGAUGCUGAAGAAGAACGUCAUUGGUUGUUUUGGGAUGUCAUCUUGUGUGCCUCAGCAACAUGCUUUGGUGCCCCCAGCGAGGUCAGGUUGAUGACAGACUCACACCUUUGAUGCUCCCUUUGCUCUUUUAGCGGCACCAACUUUGAAGUGGCAUGUUAAGGAGCGGUUGUGGUGCUAAUGGAUUGUCCAUUUGCGGCAGAAGUGCUUAGGAUCCUUCCCUCAGUGAUUGCGAGAACGGCUUGUCCCUUGCUUGAUGCCAUUGAUUUUGAGGUGUGUUUGGAUUCCUUAAACGGAGAAAGAUAUGAGAGGUAGAGAUUGUCCCACCGGGCGUGCCAAUUUGUGAACACGAAAAUUUCCUGAAACGAAAGAGACAAGAACAACGUGCACAAAAUAAUAUUUUGGUGUUAAUGGAUUUGUUGGGUUACGAUCUCUUUUAACUUGAUCCUCUGAUUCGAUCUCCGUAAGGUGUUGAUUUAUGGAUGUUUCGUUGAUCUAAGGGCCGUCGAGGCUUGAUCUUGGAUGAACUGUUGGAAGUUUCUUCAAGGGGCCGUGGGCUUGAUCUUUGAAGGUGGAUUUGAGCGGAUCUUCAAGGAGCCGUUGGGGCUUGAUCUUGAGGAUGAGUGUUUCUUCAAGGGCCGUUAAGGCUUGAUCUUGAAUAACGGUGAUGAACGGAUCUUCAAGGGCUUUUGGGCUUGAUCUUGAAGAACGGUUGGAUGUGUGGAUUUGUUGAUGUUGUUGAUCCAAGGGCCGUCGGGGCUUGAUCUUGGAAGAACGAUGAACGAAGAACGAAGAACACUUUCUUCAAAGGCCGUCGGGGCUUGAUCUUGAAUUGGUGAUUGUUGAUCCAAGGGCCGUCGGGGCUUGAUCUUGGAAGAACGGUGAACGAAGAAUGAAGAACGAAGAACACUUUCUUCAAGGGCCGUCGGGGCUUGAUCUUGAAUUGGUGAUUGUUAAUCAAAGGGCCGUCGGGGCUUGAUCUUGGAAGAACGAUGAACGAAGAACGAAGAAGGCUUUCUUGAUUCUUCGGGAUGAACGGAUGAUGAACAAUGAACACUUUCUUCAAGGGCCAUCGGGGCUUGAUCUUGAAUUGGUGGAAGUUCUUCAGGGCCUUUGGGGCUUGAUCUUGAAGGUGGAUGAUUGUUGAUCCAAGGGCCGUCGGGGCUUGAUCUUGGGAUGAACAGUUGUGUGGAUUUGUUGAACACUUUCUUCAAGGGCCGUCGAUGCUUGAUCUUGAAUUGGUGGAAGUUCGUCAAGGGCCGUUGGGGCUUGAUCUUGAAGAAGGAUUUGACGAAGAACGAAGAGAGCUUUCUUGAUCCUUCGGAAUUUGCUUGAAUUUGGGAGGUUGGAUGCUUGAAAGCUUUAGAGUUUCAAAGCUUCAAGGAUUUUGGAUGUGUGGGGAGUAUUCUCUUACAUUUUGGGAGUAGAGAAAUGUAUUUGUGAAUUGGUUUUUGAUACCUUGAUGUAGAAGCCUAUUUAUAGGCUUUGAGAAUGAAUCACCACCACAAAAUAUUUUUUUCUUUUCCAAGCACCAUUGCCUAAUUUCCCACUUAAUACAAUUUUAAACUUGAAGUGGUAAUUUUAUGGCCUAAUUUUCCACUUAAUAUCAUUUUAAACUUGAUAUGUGCAUGCUUUGUCAUUGCCCAAAAUGAGAAGAAAACCUUGUUUUGAUCUUCAAUGGAUUGAAAUGUGCUUUGCCUUGUCAUUGCCCAAAAUGAGAAGAAAAACUUGUGUAAUCCUCCAAGGGUAUUUCUUUUUAUUUUGUUGAGUCACACACCAUGUGUACAAUUUGUAUGACACGUGGCAUAUGCCAUAUAUGCCUUGACACGUCAAAAUUUUAAUGCGUUGGUGAACAUUUAUUUCACCGCAAUUUCGAUGUCUACAAUUUCAUUUCUUGUGAAUAAUGUUUAUCCUGUGUUCUGUCCAAUCGCGUAUUAAAAAAUGUGUGAAGUUUGGAUUAACCACACUCUUUUAGAAUUUCCUUUAUUUACCACUUUUUGAGAAUUUCCAAUAAGACUGGGUGAGUCUCCGCUGAGAAUUUCCUCAACUAACACCACACUACUUGAGGGAUAAUUUGUUAUAUCUUUGAAUAAAGAAUAAAACAGUUUCCUACUUUUGAAGGUACUAUUAACUUACACUAUAUUUGGAUGAAGGUCAAACUUUAUAAAUUGACAUACACCAAAUUCUUUGUUUGGAUUCAUAAACAUAUAAAUUUAGAAUUUCCGCGUGGAAAAAAAAAAUACUUAGAAUUUGAGACCUCCAAUUCUCAAAUUGAAAGUUUAAAAAUAAUAAAUUCCGUAUUCAAUUCAAUUGUUCUUUUAGGUUAACCAAAUAAGAAAAUUCACAAAUUCUAAAAUAUAAAAUCUCAUCAUUUCAAUUUCCGUCAUUUUAAAAUUCCUUAGUAAUAUUAAAUUUCUUCAUCCAAACAUAGUGUUAAGAAAUUUUUUAAAGAUACACUAUUUACACUCAUUUUUAUUUCUUACACAUUUAUUAACUUUGUCCAUUGAUUUCUUCAAUUCAUUUUGCCAGUUAUACAAAAAUUGAGAACAGUAUUUAUGAAUUAAAAAUACAUUUGUAGAUGUCACUACCAAAUUUUUAUUCCUAAUUCAAGAAAAUCUUAUCCAUAUAUGAUUGCCCUUGCCCACUUUAAAUGGGUGCCAUCACUUUACGAUAGAGCAAUCCUAACCGUCCACCUAGGUAAGCAUAACUGGCGAUGCAUGUCGCAAGGGGACCGCAUUGCACAAUAUAAUUAUACUAGUUGAUAAGACAAGUGAUGUCAAUCAAUAAAUUAUUUCAUUAAAACUUAGUUGUAUGUAUCAUAUGUUGUAAUGUAGGGUGUAUGAUAUGCUGACGCUGUAAAAAAAUGUAACCUUUUUAAUAUUACUCAUAAUAGUAAGACUUACCAGUAUUAGGAUGUUAUCAGUGGAAUGAGAAUCCUCUCCAGAUCUUUUUUGUGAGCUAUUAUUUGUAUUUAAUUUUAAAUAUAAAAAAUUAAAAUAAUUUAUGACGGCAGUGAUUCACAUGAUCUUCACAAAGAGAAUCCAAAUAAUCUUAAUUUAUAUCAGUGUGUCUAGAUAACAUGAUCGAGCCCCUUUACUUUUACCCUAUUUAGUAUUUUACAUUUGAACCUGUAAAUAUUCGAUUUUUCUUUGGUGCAACCGAGCACCAAAUAUAGAUUUUUUUUCACUUUUAUAUAAUGAUAAAUAAAGGGCAAUUGGCAGAUUUGAAUUCCAUUCGGAUUGGUCAAAAAUCAUUUUAAAUUGUUUUAUUUAAAAUUAAACACAUAUAGUACUUAAUAAAAAUUAGUCGUACAAUAUACGAUAAACAGAUAUAAUGUAAGGACCUUUAUGAUCUUCACAAAAAAGAUCCAAAGGUUGUGUAGCUGUUUCAAAAGGAUAAUACUCACUUUUGAUUAGUUCAAUGAAAUUUUAAACAUGUUUUAUUGUUUUAAAAAAUAAUAAACAUAUUUAUUAAUGUUUGUUUUACUUUAAAAAAUAAGCAGCACUUGACAACAUUUGAUUGUGCUAAAUAAAAAAUGAGUGACCACUUAGUACUACAGUCUUAUGAUAUUUUUCUUCAUUUGAAAGUGAGAGGUUUUAAGUUCGAAUCUCGUGGAUGACGAAUUUGAUAUCAAAUUAGAUUGCUCACUAUGUGGCUUAGCCGAACUCUCAUUUCCUUUAAUGUAAAAAUAUUGAUGUAUUCAAAAAAAUAAAAAGUGACUAUAGAGGACACUCAAUCUCAGCUGUAUGAUUAAAUCAGACGGUAAGAAAAAUUCUGCAAGCAUACUCGGUUACAUUAAUUGAAGAAAAAAUGGGUAAAUAUUGGGCACCAACGUUAUAAAUACCCUCCACCAUGCACCCAACUCCCUCACACCAUCACAACCCACGUUACAAAUCCUCCUCCUCAUCAUAACCAUUCUGUUUUCCGCAUAAUAUCCAAAAACCUAUCAUGUCUGAAGAGAAACACCACCGCGGUCUCUUCCACCACCACAAGGAUGAAGACAAACCCUCAGACUACCCUCAGUCUGGCUACUCUGAUGAAGGACGUCCCGGCGGCCUCGGUGGUGGUUACGGCGACACCAAUGAUUAUUCUGGUGAAGGACGUACCGGCGGCCUAGGUGGUGGCUAUGGCGACACCAAUGCUUAUUCUGGUGAAGGACGUCCCGGCGGCUAUGGCGGCUAUAACGAGACCACUGCUUACUCUGAGGAAAGAGUUGAAAGACCCGGCGGUGGCCGGUACAGUGAGACUACUGCGGCAUAUGGCAGCACCACCACUCAUGAAUCUGAACUUGAUUACAAGAAGGAGGAGAAGCACCACAAGCAUCUCGAGCACCUCGGCGAGGCCGGUGUAGCUGCUGCCGGCGCUUUUGCCUUGGUACGUAUUGUAUUUUAACCCACCUCUAUAUAUAUAUAUAUUAGAAUAAUGCUAAUAAGACCAAAUUUUGAAAACUAAAUGAUGUGGUUGUUGAUAAUGAACUUAUUACUCAAGUCUUGAUUAACAUGCUUAUUUUCUAAUAGUGACACAUUAUUUGGUUUAGAAAUUUGGUCUUCCUAACUUUAUCAUUCUCAAAAUUUUCAUGAUUUUGAUAGGGUAAUACGGGAGAUCAAAAUUUCUAAACCAAAUUUGCAAACCAAUAGAUGAUUGGAUUAUUAAUUAAGUAUCGAUUGUUUGUUUCUUAUUAACGACAUAUCAUUUGAUUUACAAUUUAGUUAAAAAAAAUUUAUUCUUUCUGUCAUAUCCUUUUGAAUAUUUGAUCACUUUACUCUUUAUCACUUUACCCUUGAUCACUUUACCCAUACUCUUGCAACCGAAUCACCGUCCUCCUCCUUAACCUUCAUUUUUUUGUCUUACAGUACUCCAAUCUAUCAACUCUGUCCAUUGCAACUUUAAUUGUGAAGAAAAUUAAAGUCCUAUCGUAAAAUUAAUUAGUGAUAUGGAGAGUUGCGCAAUUAUUGAUGGACUAGGUAGGUAAGAUACGGAAUCAAAGUCUACCAUUAACAAUGGACGGAAUUGAUGAACCAUAUAGGUAUGUAAGAUACGGAAUCAAAGUCCUCAUGUAAAUGGUACAGUUGCAAUCAGGAGAAGAAAUGAGUUAACUGAUACCUUCGUAAUAGUUCAUGUAGAGUUUUGAUAUUAUUAAGCCUUAACCACCUGAUCUUAUAUAUACGAGGACAAAUCUAAUCAAAUAUGUGUUAAUUUCAAGGUUUGUUUUACAUUGAUGUGAGAUCGAUGCUAGCAAGAUAUAUAACUUAUGUCAGUUUCUAUAUGAUGUGUGUAGCAUGAGAAGCACAAUGAAAAGAAAGACCCAGAGCAUGCCCACAGGCACAAGAUAGAAGAGGAGAUUGCUGCAGCAGCUGCAGUUGGUUCGGGUGGAUUUGCCUUCCAUGAGCAUCAUGAGAAGAAAGAGACAAAGGAAGAAGAGGAAGAGGCUUAUGGAAAGAAGAAGCACCACCACUUCUAGAUCUAUGUGGAUUGUGGAACAUCAUCUUUUGACUACAUAUGCAAUGUUGUGUUUUUACUAGUUAUCAUGUGGUGUGAUCAGUGAGAGUGUGAUGCUUAAUCUCAACAAUAUCGCUACAAUAGUUGAGUGGUUAAAUGUCCUUUUCAAUUAAUGGGUGCUAUCUGGUUUUCUUUUAGCAUGCCAUCUAUGUAUGUAUGUAUGUAUGUAUGUCAUUGUUAUUGUUCAUAAUAAUACUGUUUACUCGGUGUUUAUUUCCUAGUGGCCACAUCUCAUUUUAAAUGAUUUCUUCAUACCAUUAAUUUUUUAAAUGUAAAGACUCAGUAUCCAUAUAACUACGAAAAUUUUUGACAAAACAAAAACAAGAAAAAAGAAAAGGAAAAAAUGGCUUAGCAAGUUUGUAUCCUAUAAGACAAAUGGGUACGUGGAACGAUGGACAUCUCACAAUGGUUUUUGAAUCGUCGGAUCAUCAUGGUUGGACUAUAUAAUUAUCAUUGAUAUAAUAUAAAUUUUGAUUUUUUUUUAGGAAAUUAAUAUCUGAAAACAAUAUUGAUGUACUGCAUUUGUUUUGGACGAUAUUAUACUUUAAUCCAAAUUUUGAGAAAAAAAAAACAUAUCGAACUCAGGUGUACAAGAGUGGCUUUGCUACCCAUGUACAGGGCUAGUUCUGAGUUUUUGGGUGCCCAGUGCGAAAGCUCAAAAUGUGACAUUUUUUAAUACGAAAACAUAUAUUAAAAAAAAUAUUUAAUGAGGGCUGGAACCCAGUCGAAGCUGGAGGGCUAGGACCUCACGCCCAAAUUAUAUUACUUGAGAAAAUAUACAACUGAGGAGGGGACAUGGUACCUAAACCCCGACAAUCAAAAGUACAAUCAUAUACAACCACUCCUAGCAAAUCUCCUUCAAAUUUCAACCUUUAAGAAAUUGUCUUCUGGCAUUUUUUGAAGCAAAAUCAUCAAUUAUAUCAUCAUACUCCAAGUCUUCAAUCUCAUCAUUUUCAAUGCAUAAGAUUGCUAAUCCAUUUAGCCUAUCUUGAGUCAUAGUGGUCCGCAAGUAAGAUUUUAAUAAUUUCAAUUUUGAAAAACUUCUUUUUGCAGAUGCCAUGGUCACAAGUACAGUUAACAGUACACGAUAAGCAAUCAAGACAUUAGGACACAUGUCAGUUUCUUUUACAAAAUUUGCUAUUUCCAUGGAUGUCCAAGGGUUAUUAGAGAGAAAUGCUUCUUCAGGUAAUAUCAUUUGCAAAACCUGCAAUUCGGAAUAUAAGUCAACUCCAUCUACAUCCAUGGUAUUUCCAUGUUUCAAAUGUGCUUCAAGAUUCAUACAAUUUUCUUUUAGCUCUUGAUCAUCCAAUGAAAUUAACUUUGGUGCAUCAAACAAGAAGCCAAAAAUAGAUUCAAAGGAUUUUAACUGUUCAAACUUGUGUUUCAGUUGAGAAAGAGCAAUAUCCACUAUAACAAGAAAAUAAUAUUUCCUAAAUGAUUCUUUAGCAGAUUAUUGUUCCCUCUCAUUACCAUCAACUUCAUCAUGAUGUCUUUUUCUAGGUCUAUGACAUUUAGUUUGAAAAAACAGGGUCAAUUUCCAAAUCAAGUGCAAUUUCAUUAGCAUCACUCAUGGCGGAAGCAAAACCAGUUUCUCUGUAGUUUCCAAAAAAUGUAACAAAUGCUUCAAAUGCCUUUACAGCAACAUCAAGACGCAUGUCUUUAGAUUGUAAUUUUAUGCUCACCAUGUUAAUCUUCAACAAAAUGUCAUACUAAAUAACCAAACUUAAUACAAAAUCAAAACUUGAAAGUUCGCCUGAUGCUAAACAUCUUGCAUCCCUACUUAAUUGAGGAUUUUCAGUAAUUUCCACCAAUUAAACAAAGCAUUUCUAACCUGGGCUACUUGAGACUUAAUUGCUUUAACAUUUUCAAUGUGACUUUCCCAUCGAGUAGUUGACAAUGACUUCAAAGUUAAACCAUCAAUAUGUUCAACCAAAAUAUUCCAACGCUUUGUAGAGUUGGAAAACACCAUAUAUAUGCAUUGACAUGCUCUAAAAAAAGAUUUUGCUUUAAGACAUGAACUUGCCAUAUCACAAACUAUUAAAUUAAGCUAAUGAAAACCACAUGGCAUGUAAAAGGCUAUGGGAUUUAUGUCUAACAAUCUUUUCUGGACAACUUGGUGUUUCCCUCUCAUGUUAGAUCCAUUAUCAUAACCCUGUCCCCUCAUAUCAUCAAUAUCAAGGUCUAAAAUAUCGAUAUUAUCCCGAUAUUUCUUUCGAAAUUUCUGUGUUUUUGGAUUACCGAUAUUUCCGAUAUCAUCGAUAUUUUAGACCUUGAUAGGAACUCUAUGUGAUACUAAGUCACUCAUGUAUCUUACCAUGCAAUGUAUAAAGUGUAAAAUAUUGUAUUAAUUCAUUAUAUAUAAAUGAUUAUGGUGUGUUUAACUUCUUUCAUUAAUUACUACAUAUUUUCUACACUCAAAAUGUUUGUCAGCUCACUAUAUAAUCAACUUAAAUAAGUUAAAUCCAUCAUGAAAUGCAUUUCGUUCCAAUUUUUUGUAAUAAACUAGUAGAUAAUUGACUAAAUAAACAUCCUGCAAAGUUUCAAUAAAAAUUUCCAAGUUUUUCUUAUAAUUUCCGUGGUUUUUAUUCAAUUUUUAUCGAUAUCGAUAAUAUCCCGAUAUUUCCAUCAAAAUUUCCGUAUUUUUGGACUAUCAAUAUUUUCGAUAUCAUUGAUAUUUUAGACCUUGAUCAAUAUCAAGAUCAAGAGAUUUUAGGACAUCUUGCAGCUCGUUAAAAAGCCCUUGUCCUAAUGUAUCUUUCACACUUAAAAACUCCAUGAAAUACUCCCUUAUAUUUAUUGACCUACUUGACAAGUCAACACAUCACAAAAUUAAAGUCAUCUGUUCCACAUGACUUGCAUUAGGAGUACAAUCAAGAAUGACAAAAAAAAAUUUGGCUUCUUUUACUUUUUUAAUGAUUGCGGUUUUGACUUUUGAAGCUAAAGUAGCUAUCAACUCAUUUUUGUUGGAAAUGUGCCCUAAAACCAAUCAUAUGAUGAUACUUUACGAACGUUUCACAUGUUAAACUAAUAUAGUUUAAUAUAAAGGGCAAAAAUUAUUGUUUGUAGCCGUCUCAUAUAAAUGUUAUACGCUUAAACGAUAAGUCCAAGGAAUAUGUAAUUGGGAGAAUGCGAUCUAAAGAAGUUAGAUUCAUGAGACCAUUCUCUUCCGUAUACAUAUCCUAAACGUUACUGAUCAUAGGAUUGUCAAUUGGGCAUUGAUAGUCUGUUAAGAUCAGUACGUGUUAUGUCUUCUCUUAAGGAGAGUGACUGGUCUCGAGUCAUUGGUGUGACUGACACCAAGACAAGCAUGUAGGUGCUCAAUAGAGAAUGAGUCCACUGAACACGAUCAACAAGGAGUUCUCAUACUCAUGUCACAUGAGAACUCGUGGUUGGAAUAAUGCAAAGUAGUCAUUUGACCUGAGGCAUCAUAGUUGUCUUGUGGUUAGGUCCUUGAUCUUUGACUAUGUCAAAGUCACUCCGUCAGAGGGUGUCCAUUGCAUAGUUGGGGUUAAGCCACUUAGCCAUGGAGGCAAGUGAAUGCACAAUAAGGGAUCUCUAACCUUCAAACUAUUUGAGGGAGAAUACUCUAUGAUAUGAUUAAGAAUCUCUGGCCAGAGUAUGAAUGAUAUUUAAGAAGUCGUUCCAAAUCACAUUCAAGGUAAUCAUAUAAGUAAGAGAAUCACAUUGGAUAGUAGACAUGAAUAAACUAUCAAACCAAACAAUGUGGUCAAGAGUAUUGUAUUAGAGUAAGACCGUAUUGCAUUGUAAUCCUAAACUAAAUAGGUUCUCCACCUCUUCUGAUCAGCUUGGGUAACCAUGACAUACUGCUAGGUGUUACUCAUGAUUUGUGGAAGCCCUAAACGUGUAUAAUCACUAAAGGGAGAAUUGAAAGUAAGUUUCAAUUUACAAUCGAUUUGAAAGAGUUCUAAUCGCUCACUGCCUCGCUAAAAGGAACCUAAUGGAUCGUACACCGUGUAAGGUAGAGAUUGAAAAAACAACGGAGAUAAGUAAGGACAAUUAAAUGGUUUAAUUGUUUAUGACAAGAAUUAAUUAAUAUGUUAAUUAAUCAAACGAAUAAGUUCGGGUUAAACCUUGAGUUAGUUUUGGGCAUUAAAGCCCAAAUUGGGCUUCGAAUCUUCAAACCCAUUAGCUUAAGUUGUAUGACAACUUAACAAACAAAAUUCAAGAAGCCCAAAACAGCCCAAAGGCUUGGGAAAACCAGCCAUAUAGAGAGGGGUAGUGAACUUGGCUUAAUUGCAAGUUUGCCAUUCCAUUGUGAGGUGGUAUAAAGGCAACUUUAUAGCCAUUUCAUCCUUAGGGUUUCUUUUGGAGAAAAGAUGAGAACACAAGCUCCCUUUUCUCUCUAAGAGGCUGGCCACCCUAGAGGAUUUUAGCUAGCAAUCUUACUUCCUCUAGGUCACUCAUCUCUUCUUCAAGUCAUUCCUUGGUGUGGAGACUUAGAGGUUCCUUUCAACCAUCUUCAUCCAAGAAAUCCAUGGAGCUAAGAAGCAAGGAAUGAAGGCCCUCGCCUUGGGUGAUUAGCCUUUGCUUAUGCAAAGAGGAAUCAACAAAGGUAUAAAAUUUCUCAACUCACUUUGUUCUUGAGUUGAGUCUUGGUUCACAUAACUACUAGGCUUUGAAUUUCAUGGGUAAUGUUUUGUUUUGAGUGCAUACAAGCAUGAUUCCGCCUUUAAUUGUUAAUUGCAUGCCAUAGAUGUUGCUCAAAUGAACAUGUUUCUCACAAAAUUUCCUUCAAUUUUGAAUUUUAUGGCUCAAAUAGUGAUGAUGAAUCUCUUUAUUCUCAAUAAGUCGAAAAUGCUAUUGCAUUAUUGGAUCAAACUCCGCAUUCAUUUCAAGUAAACCUAAGAAGUUGCCAUUAGAGUCUUCAUAAAGUCUUUCAUUUGUUCCACGAAAUGCUAAAUUACGUAUGGCAAGACAUUUCAUAACAUCAAUAAUUCUAAGCAUCACUUGUUUCCAAUGAUUUGGCUCUUUCUUGAUUUGCAUUUGAAAUUCUUUGUCAAUUGUCUGAUUUUUUGUCAAUCUACUUUUCAACUCAACCCAAGUUCUCGAAUUAAUGAGAUGCUCUUUACUCUUUUCAUAUUGGUCAAGCUUCUUACCAAGAUGUCUCCAAUCACUAGUUCCAUCUUUUGCUAACUCACUUUUUGAGGCAAUUAUUUUAAACAAUUUACAACAAAAGCAAAAGACUUUAUCCAACUCUUUUGAGUACACGAGCCAUUUCCUAUCGUAAAUUUUACCCGUUCGUAAUUUUCGAUCAUAGUAGUGUGAGGAAAAUUUUCUAGAGAAUUUGUCCUUAGGAUAAGUGAAUUAGUUUCUCAAAUUGGUCCUUUUUCUACAAGUAAGUCUCUCAUUUUUGCAUUAAGACCAUCCCAAACUAUUGGAUCAUAAAUGUCUAAAUGAAAAAUAGGUUCAAGAGAUUCAAUAUUUUCUUCUACACCAAAAUGAUCAUCAUCAACAUUUAAAUCCACAUCACCACCAUUUUCAUGAUCUUGAGACUCAUCACCAACAUUUUCCUCUAAAUCACCACAAUUUUCUUGGUCAUGAGACUCGUCAUUAACAUCUUUCUCCACAUAACCACAAAUUUCAUCAUCAUGAGACUCCCCAACAAUAUUUUGUGACUCUUCACCAACAUCAUUUUCUCUCAAAUUUUCAACCGACUCAUUCUUUAUAGAAUUUUUUUUAUUAAGAGAUCCUCUUAAACUUUAGGCAAUUUCGUUAUCCUUUGCCUUUUUUUUCCUUUUCAUAUUACUAGAGAGUUAUUUUCUAAAAGACAUGGCUUUGAUAAUUUGUUUGCAAAAAUUACCUACAUAUGAUAUAACAAAAAUUUCCUAUUAAAAUUAUCAUCAACAAUUCAAAAAUUACCUACACAUGAUAAUCAAGAAUUCAAUUCAUCAACAACAACAAUUCUAUACAUCAAUUAUCAUAUAAUUCUGUCACUUGCAAAAUUUAUAUUAAAUUAUGAAUUAAUAAUUCAAAUUAAAAAAUUAGUUUACCUCAAAACUCAAAAGGGUUGUUGAAUGCAAGGACUUGUGGGCCUGUGGCUGUCGGGUUUGGAAGCUGUAGCCUGCAGCAGCGCAACAAAUUAUCAGACGGUAAGGGCUAGGGCAGUGGGGUAACAAUGGGGUGGGGAAUCGGGAAAAAGGGGAACUUAGGGUUAAUUGGGGGGGGGGGGGGCGGGGACGAGUGGUCCCCUUGUGUUGUUAUUUUUUAUUUUUUUAAUGGCCAAAACCUGGGCUGGUCUUUUUUUUUUAAUUUUUUUAUUAUUUAUAAAUGCCCAAAACCUGGGCCGUUCCCUUCAUUUUCAAACUUGGGCCUCUUGCCCUCUAGUUCUUAUUUUGGGCUCUGGACAAAUUUUUUUUAUACCUAAUUAUUUGGACUUUUUUUUUGGUGCCCCUUUCAAUUUUGGGCCUUGGAAUGGCCCUGGUUGCACUGGGCCUGGGCCGGGCCUGCCCAUGUAUAUGUUAUCUUGUGAUUUGACAAGUCAUAUGUAUAUCAUAUCAAUUUUAUCUCAAUUGUGGUGAUGGUACAUAAUACUUACUACAUCGUAUGGCAACAAAUAAAUAUGGGCAUAAAGAUAAAUAGAAUGGUAUCAGUAAAUUAAGGUCUUCACAUUACGAUUAUAUUUAUCUCUAUUUUUAGUGGAAAGUUUUAAGGAUAAUUUUUUUUCUGCCUCCUACAUGGGUCUCGAUUCUCCUCUACGGUAAAAAUCCGUAUGUUUUAAAUAUUGAAAAGUUAAUUUAGCCCAAAUCCUUGCCUAUUUUAGGGAAAAUAAAAAAAAUUCAUUUUUAACCCUUUGAUUACUUAUAUCACCUAGUAUAACCUUUUUUUUUGUGUGAUACAAACAAAUAUUUUUGUUUGGGCCCAAAAUAUUAUUUUAGGCUGAGCUUAGGUCAUUCUCGGCCUAGUGGCAUUCAUUUAGAAUUUUGUUAUGGGCCGUCCAGUUAAGGUCAGCCGAAUCCUAUUAUGAAAAGGUUUGGUUUGGAUAAGGGUGAGUUGGUCGAUACUAGUGCAACAAGGAUUCUGAAGACUAAGGACAUUGAGAAUUAAAGGGUGAAUUUGGUUUGUUAAGAAGCUUGGUUCAAAGUCCUACAGGAAUUAGGAUUGGUUGAAACCUGAUCGGAUUGGGUUGAGGAGUUCUAAUCCUAGUCCAUUUCUAGUUCGGCUAUGAGGGGAUUCAUUAUUAUAAAUAGAGAAGGGAGUGCAUCAUUCAAAGCCCCUCCAAUUCAACACACAAAUUGCCUUGUGCAAAGCUUCUCAACAACCUUUGAGAUUUUAUCCACUUCCUCUUUCUUUUGCCAACACAUCUUCAGUUUGGAUAAAUAGCACUGUGAAGGCAACCGUCGACAUCUUCAGUUUGGAUAGACUGCACUAGAGCCGUAAAAUUAGCCGACCAAGGAGCACCUUUAGUUUGGAUGGACAACACUGCUUUGAGGCCGACUGGCUAUUUAUUCAAGUCUCGGCUGAGAAGGAUUUUCAAAUCCUUGUUGGUAGAGGUCAUCUCGUCAGCCUUCUCGGCAAAGUGAGGUGUUACAGGUUUCUGGGCUCGGCACAUUGAACGUUGAGUUUUGUUUUAUGAUUAGAUACUCACAAGUAAGUUUUAGAGUUUGGCAUUCCGAUGGCCGAAUCACAUUUACAAUCAAGAUAUAUAUUUCUUUCGAGUAUUUGUGUCUGUAUAGUUUGGUACCAGUUCGGCAUGCUUAUACUCUCACGAAUAUAAUCACUAUGAUCGAACCUGAUGCCGAUGAUUUGUGAACUUCAUAGAACUAGCAACCUUGUCUUCAGGCAUUAUAAUCCAAAGGCCGAGACAUGUUCCUUCAUCGAUCGCAGUCGUAAGAUCGAGAAGUCAGCAGCGCGCCCAACGAGACAUCAACACAUUCUAUUCCUCGACCGAGUUGGCACGCCCUGCACAUAACUGAAGGACGUAGUUAGCUUAUUAGUUACUCAGCCUAUGCGUCACGUAGGCUUCAUAGUUUUUAGUGUCAACAUUUUGGCAUGCCCAGUGGAACCCAGUGUUAAAGCUACGAAGUUCAUGACCAUUGAGACACGGUCAGUAAAAAAGAAACCAGUAAUGGGAAAGUUGACAACUAAUCUUCCAGUCUAAAACUCAUGACAAGAUGGGUUGUUAUAGACACAGAUUCAUGCUGCUGCCAUGACACCUGAAGCCACAAGUGCGACAUGCCGAGAAAAGGAAGUGAAUCUUGGCAAUCAGCCUUGUGGUGCAGAAAUCCCCACCAAAACGACAAAAGGCAUUUUUGUUGAAGGAAUAGUGGAUGAUUAUGACGAGGACGGUGGUAAGGCCUCUGAUCCACCAACCAGGUCGUUUUUUCGACGACGACUUGAAGAGUAAUCUUGACAACUUGAGCAGAUGUUCAGCCGAGAGAUAAAAAAACAUAUUUAAAGAAAUGCGUGAUAAUAUCGCUGUACAUAAUUUAUUGCUCGAAGUUCUGGUUAGUAAAGUCCAUGACAUUGGACCCACCAAUCGAUCCAGGCAUCAUUUUUUCAGGAAUAACCCACUACCAAUAGUACAGGUCGAGACAUAAUCCACUUGGCUCAAAAUGAUUAACUUACAGAAAAGUGGUGGGUUAAUCAGCAGAUCAAACGGAUUCGACCAGAGAGCGGAAACGACAUAUGUUGAUAUGGUUGAAGUUUAGAGAAUGAUUGAUUCGGCCUUGAAAAAUGGGCCAAAGUUUCCAAAAUUCAUUCACCCAUAUCCUGCCUUUGUAGAAAAGUUUGAGUACCCAAAGGGGUUCAAGAUCUCUGACUUCAGCCUUUUCGUUGAAGAGUCGUCCCUAUUGUCAUUAAACACGUGGCUCAAUUCACUGCUCAAUGUGGGGACGUUAACAGUGAUUUCCAUAAGCUACGAUUGUUCAAUUUCUCGUUAACCAGCUCAGCAUUCGCAUAUUAUAUCAACCUCUCACCCAACUCUAUCCAAAGUCAGGAGGAACUGGUCGAGAAAUUUCAUGAGCAAUUCUAUCGACUGGGGAUGGACGUAUUAGUAUCUUCUUGGGCUAGGAUGGCUCAAGCCUCUGAUGAGUCACCAAUGGAAUACUUUACAAGGUUUAAGUUGGCCAGAAAUUGGUGUCGAGUACCUCUUCCUGAAGUCGAGUAGGCUUGCCCUGAAUGGCUUAGACGUGGAGUACAAGAAGAAAUUCUUAAGGGCAUACUUUCGAGAUAUGUACGAAUUGGCUCAGCAUGUCGAGCAAUAUGAUUAUUUUCUCUGAGAGGAAAAGAUCUCGAAGUUUUCAUCCCGAGGAACGAUCUACAAGAACUUUACGGUUAGCUAUGCAUCGGCCAAAGGCGAGGAGUCCCAAUAUGCUAGUAUAGACGUGGCCAAGAUAUUAAUCGACAAACUGUACAUAUGUAAAACAUUGGCUCAUGCUACCUGUUCAGCCUUUGAGGAAGCUGCCGUCAAAACGUUAAAAGUCUAUACUUUCGACAUCACUAAGGCUGAUGCCAUCUUUGACCAGUUAUUGCUUGCAAAAAUUGUCAAGCUUCAGCCAGGGCAUAAUAUUCCAAAGGUCAAGGACUUAAAAGGAAAGACAUAUUACAAAUACCACAACUCGAACAAGCAUACGACAAACAACUGUGUCGUAUUUCGCGAUGCCAUUCGAAACUGGAUAGAUAACGGUAAGCUUAAAUUUCCUGAGAAACCAAUGGUCAUUGACACCAAUCCUUUCCCUAUGACAACGGUAAGCAUGGUAGAUGCUCACCUACACAAGGAUAAGAGAAAAGGAAAAGCCGAGUUCAUCCCAACGCAAUACGUCCCUAAGCAGAAUUCUCGAUCACAAUUGAAAGUCAAUCUAUCCUUGGGUGAGCCACCCAGAUACUUUUCAAACCCAACUAAUACCGAGUCAAUAUCAAACUCCAGCACGGGAGAAAGUGACAUGCCAAUGGUUUUAUGCAGUUGGUGUAAAUCAAACGUCAUCAUAACUAAGCUGAAGGAAAAGCCACUUCGGACUGAAGCACCACUAACGCCUGUAGUUGUAGCAACACCUCAAAAAGUGCUUGGUACAGACCAACACCAUAAAGUUUUUGAUAGGCUCAGCCCUCAAACACGGAAUGACGGCCCGUCUUCGGCCCGAUAAUGACUUAAUUUCGACGUUUCGUUUUAUAAUGAAGAGUAUUAUGUGUGCAACUCCAGCAACUCGAGUUCAUCCGCGAACCAAAGAAACUUCAAGUCACCUGAGCCAUGCGACUAGUGUUGGUAUACCUACAAUUCCCUACCGAUGUAUAUAUUGCAUUGUCCAAAUCGUAGAAACAUCAGCGCCAAAUAAUGGACUAUAUGGCUCGCCAAUGAGCAGCCCAGACUACCUCGGUCACCAAGUGGCAACUGAAAGAAACGGUAGAUAACGAAGAUGAUUGACAACCUUCGGCCAUCAUGGUUGAGUUGCUUCAAGGAAAGAAAGUGAUCGAUCGUGACUUUGAAACCAUGAUUGAAGAAUCUGAAAAGUGAAUCAAACUCUUUCUUCGGCCUAGGGAGAUGAAAGCUUGCCUCGAGCACUUUCGGAAAGAAGUUGAAAACAAACUUCCUUUACUACCCUCGCAAGAGCCAUUAAUUAAAGUUCGAAGGAAUCUUCACCCGCCAUUUCUUAACAAAGCUUUAGAAUACAUGCAAGAGUUCCAUAUAAAAACAUUCAGCUAAUGGUUAAUAUUGCAUGCCAAAAGCAUGCCAAGAGGCUCUUGAUCUAGUAUUAACUUGCCCCGAUGCCGAACAAAUCAUCCAAAAGACCAUGGAUCAGAGGAUGAAGGCUAGAAUCCAGCAUAUACUCGAGGCUUGAGUUCUCUACUUUGAGGUAGACCCAUAUACUGAUAUCGAUCCAACCGACCUUCCUUUCUCCCUUAAGGACCUCCAAUAUUUACUGUAUCAUUUUGAAAUUUUCUCGGCAGUUGCCCUCUUUAAUCUUACGACUGAUGAGAAAGAACGUAUGGCGUGAUUAGAUGCUUACUUAGACACAAGAGACGCCCGCAUCGUAUAUCAGGAGCGGACUCACAAGGCUUCACAAGAGCAACACCAAGUCCCCACGUUGAGCGAGCCUAAAGUUGAUGGUCAGAACGAAAUGGGUUUGGUGGAUGCACUGUAGGGACGGGUUCUCUUAGCUGCCGGAGAGGAUCAGCCAGAUAAUGCCCAUAAGCAAAAUACUUCGCCUGAAAAUCUAGAAGACAAAGAUCACGACCCAAUGGGUUCUUCGGUCCUUGAUAACACGGAAAUCAACAUGGUCCAUGUCUUACCUGCCGAGUUCUAGCUAAUUACAUCUCAACCAAACUUUAUGGACGACGUCAAAGUCGCCGAGGAAGCCGCACAAGUCGAUUUUUUGGCCACCGAAGAGAUCGAGCAAGUAAGCAAAGAAGAUAAACUUAAGGCAGCUCUUGCCAAUUUGUUCCCCCGCUAUUCGUCAGUUAAUUUUCAUCAUUUAAAGCCAUUGUAUGUUAUAGCUCGUAUUGAAGGAUAUCUGGUUUCUAAAAUUUUUGUCGACUACGAAGCAACGGUCAACAUCAUGCCCGUUUCUAUCAUGAAGGCAUUACGUCGCUUUAGCAACGAACUCAUUCCAUUAGGGGUAACCAUGAGCAGCUUUGUCGAUGACAAGUCCUAAACCAAAGGAGUGCUUCUUUUAGAGGUAAAUAUCGCAUGUCGCAAUCACAUGACCGAGUUUCUCAUAGUUGAUUUAAAGACUGAGUAUAAUUCCUUGCUUGGUUGUGAUUGGAUCCACCAAACAAGCUGUAUCCCUUCGUCAUUAUAUCAAGUCUCAUCUUUUGGGAUGACAAAUCAGUCGUGGUUCAUCCAGCCAACAAUCAGUUGUUUGAAGCUAAUAUAAUUUAGGCUCGUUAUUACAAUGAUCACAUCGGCUACAUCACCAUAUAAGGUUUUAAAGGGGAAGGACGGCCAACUUGAAUCUUAAUUUAGAAAGCCAUUGAGGUUGGAAAACAUUGUGACAAGAUUCGGCGUACCAAAAAUAAUUAUAACAGAUAACGGCAUAAUUUUUACAGCCGACAAGUUUAAAGAAUACGCAGCGAGUCUAAAAAUUCAGCUCAAUUAGUCCACGCCAUAUUACCCAUAAUCAAAUGGACAGAUCGGAGCAAGUAAUAAAGUUUUAAUCGGUAUACUUGACAAAAUGAUAAAAGAAAAGCCUGGUAUGUGGCAUUUGAAGUUAAACGAGGCAUUAUGGGCAUAUCGAACUUCACUCUGAUCAGCAACAGGGAUGACCCCAUAUGCGUUGACUUAUGGGCACGACGCGAUGCUACCGGUCGAGCUAAGCAUAAACUCGUUAUGAGUUAUCGAACAAAGUAGUUUAUUCAGUGCCGAGUACAGUCAGGCCAUGAGGUAAGAGUUGGAGGACUUGGAGGAAGCUCGGCUCGAUGCCUAUAACUUACUGGUGGUGCAUAAAAAGAUUACCGAACGAGCUUAUAAUCGAUGAGUUAGGCAAAAGACGUUCGGUGAAGGUGAAUUAGUAUGGCAAACCAUGUUACCAGUAGGGAUUAAAGACCUUAGAUUUGGGAAAUGGUUGCUGAAUUGGGAAGGACCAUUCGUCAUCCACAAGGUUCUUGGCAAGGGGGAAUACCACUUGAAAAAGUAUUAUUCGAUUACUUGGGAAAUGCAAGAAUAAAGAAUUUAUUUCAUUGAUUUUCAAAGGACAUUUACAAGCAAAAUUACAAAGAGUCGAUCGGCCUACAACUACAACUAAAGACAAAAGUCCUAAAGAGUCGAAGGAAGAAAAGCUUCAAAAGUGGCUUUCAGUUCUAGCCAUCUUACUUCGCCCAUCGUGACCUCAGCCUGUCUUGUUCUUUUGUCAAGUUGUAGUUGAUGUAUCUGCUUCGAGCUAGCUGCAUACUCUGCCAGUCGAGGUUUAUUCGAAUUGAAAUCUAUUUCAAGCUCGGAAGCAACGGCUGACCUUUGACGUGGAAGUUUAGUGAUUUGGCGGUCAAGAUCGGCCAGCCGCUCACUCUUUGCUUUUAUGGCCUCGAGCUCUGGUCGGAUAGCUUCAUGAACGACCAUUGAAGCCUUGAGGUCAUCUUCUGCCUAAAGAGCCCCAUCAAAAAUAGCGAAGUAUUGUCGGGUUCGUUUUAGGAUAUAAGAUAGGUGAACGACAUUCUCAUUGCUUAGAAUGCCAUCGUUUACAAGGUCGUUCAUACAUUCUUCUAUAGAAUCGAGGCCUUUGUAUUCAAGGAUUUGCAUGGCUGAGAUAGACAAAAGCUCAUGCAGCUUGGCGAAGACACUGGACACGGCCGCGAUUGCAAAAGACUAGAUCGCGGUUGUUGAAGGCCUAGUCACCCCAGAAGUGUUUGAGAGGAGGGUGUCAAGCUUGACUUUCCAUGAAGGCUGCAUAAAAAGAGUUGUUAGAAAAGAGAAGUUAAAAGGACGGUAGAUAAGGACGUUGUGUUAGACCUACCGAGAAAAGACUUCGGCCAUGUCUGUUGGUUCGUUACUCGAACCGAGAGAGCUUAAUGGCCGAGCCUAGUGUUUAAGGCAACCUUUUAAUUCAUGUGGCCGAUAAAGGUUAUCUAUGUUUGAUGGCUAUUGGGAUGGCCAAGAAAUAUAAAUAACGCCAUUUGGCGCAUAGAAUUUUUGGAGAAAUGAGUAAUUAGGCACCUGGCAGUUAAUAUUUUCUUGGUUUAGAAUUCUAAAGCAAAAAAUUAAUAAAAGAAAAUGAUGACGAGUCUUACAAAGGUCGAAGUAACCUCCUGAAGAGGAAUGUCGAAAUUCUGGUCUUGAGGAUGAACCAACGUCUUUACCAUUGCUUCUGCCUCGACAGGAGGCACCGCUUCAUGUCCUGCACCUAUUUCAGUUGCAAAAGUGUCGACCUGGCCAGCCAUCUCAACUAUCGGUUGAGGAUUGGUGGUUGGUAGUUCAGCUGGUUGAGAGCGCCUCACCAACGGGGGUACUUCAUUCUCGUCAUCCUAUACAUAAAAGAGGAUUGGUCGUUAGUUGAGAGAUAUAGUCAAAAUAAAAGGAGAACAUUAGUAAAAAUGGUCAUACCUAUUCUUCCACAAUGAUUAUUGGAGUCUUCUUUAGAUUUGGCGGAGGGUUUCUCUCGGCUGUGGUGGCCUCAUUCUCCAAAGCAGUAGCUGCCACGCUAACACCAAGAAUAACGGCCGGCCUCGGGGUUGGAAAACCCUUGACUAAUGGGUUGAUGAUGGGUUCAACAACAGCCAGCAUAAUGGGUUGGAUCUUAGUUGAUUGAUCUGUCAGAGGAUUUUGCGGUACUCCAAUCGAGGCCUGGACGACAUGAGAAUGGAGAAGGGCACUAGGAGUGGUUGUUCCCGUGGUUUGACUCGAAAUGACAUAUAUCUCCCGUUCUUCAUUCUUUUCCUUUUUCUUGAGGCACUUUUGGGACCGGGCAAUGUUGCCAGUCGUCUCGACCUUUGGGCGAGGCCGUUUGCUCGGUGCGGUCGGUGCAAUAGGGGCUGCUGCAGAAGUUGGUUUGACUGAAGGAUGAGCGAGUUUCUUUUUAGUCGCGACCAUCGUAACCACAUUGACUCGUUUUAUGGCACGACCACUUGGAAAAACUGAGUUUAAGUCAGAACGAUGUUCAAAUUGAAUAAACAAACAAGGGAAGUAAAAGAUAUAUACCUUUAGUUGUUUCUUUGGAUUUUGGGACGAGUCUUCCUCGGUCGGUCGUCGAAAAGCUUCUUUGAAAUUUCCUCGACUGAAGUACUGAAGAAGUCCUUGACGUAAGCAUCUCACCAAUCGGCGAAGAUGCUAAUGCAAUGGGUUUUUGGGGUAAUCAGCCGAAGAUAGAAAUUGGUGCAUCGCUCUAAGAAUUCCCUCUCGGAUUCAUCACAUUCCCUUUAUGAGGAGCUGAAGAGGCGUUCUCGGCUCAAGGGUGAGCGGGAAGUGAGGAGUGGCAUAGGAUAGGCCUGGACAUAGCUCAGUGGAUAGGCCAUGAAGUCAGGAUGGCAAAUCUCCUAGCUGGCCCAUCGAGCAUCACAACCAAAUGGAAUGUCACGAGCUAGAACAAAUGAUCCAUAUGAUUGUCGGAGAUCAGCGUCUUCUGCUUCUUCCCACACCAAUGUAGGGAGCCUGAUGGAAGACAAAUAUUUCUGGCGGUGGCAGACCAGAAACUCGUCGUUCAACAAGUCUUCAAGGUCGAAGAAGUACUUGAAGACAUCUUCGGCCAAUGGGCAGGAGUAGGGUGUGAGGACAGUUGAAGGCUCAUUGCUUUGGAAGAAUUGAAGUGUAGGAUUUUUGGCCUCAAUGUGUAGAAGUAAACCUGCAACCAUAGUUGAAAGACUCAAAGUGGGCCGUUCUGGUGUGGGUUGAUUUUCCCGACGGAAACCUCAGCCAAGCAUCGAGAAAGGUUGGCAAUGAUGGUCGAGCUGAAGGGCAGGACGUGGCCACUAGCUAGCGCUUCAGCCACUAGCACAUUCUUGGCCAGGCACUUGUACGACUUGGUACAAAAGAUGAACUUAUUGUACUACUAGAACGAGAAGGUCUCGUGUUCCCCCUUCUUGAGAGCUUCCCCCUCCGAGCCAGCGAAGUGGGUGAUCAGGGUGCUAUAAUUGAAGAAGUUCUUGUGCAGCUUAUAUACAUCUUUUUUUCAACGGCUCCUGACCAUCCUUCAUCAAAGCUUCGACGACAUGUUCGUCAAAGACCGCCUUUAGAUCUAGGUCGAAUUGAUAUCGAAAAAGGGUGGUAUCAACUGAAAGACCAGAAAGGGGAGUGCCAAGUAUAGCCGUGACAUCCAGCAUUGUUGGGCCAAUGGGGCCAAGAGGAAGGACCAUAAUGUUGGUGGCCAAACACUAGAAACUCAGGGUGGCCAUUAGGAGUUCUCGAUCCAUGUUGAUCUCAAUGGUUGAUAGCUUAAUGGCAUCAAAGUUACUGAGAAUCUUCCAAUCGCCCCUGAAGUGUGGCUCCAUCCGGGUAGGGGUGGGUACUUGGAAUCAAAAAUCAAAACCGAAACACGAAUCGAAUCAGACCGCACCGAACAGUUUGGUUUUGUGAUUUUGAAACGGUUACGGUUUCAAAACCAAACCGCAGCAAAGAAAACGAUUUGGUUUCGGUUUUGGGGUUUCAAAACCGCACCGAAACCAAAACCGAAAUCGAAACCGCACCAUAUAUUGAAUAUUGAAUGUUAUGUUUUAAUCUAUUGUUUUGUGCAGCUCCAAUCUGAGUUUUUCAUGGCAGUAGGGCUCCCAGGCUCACAUUGCUCUCAUAAUCACUUUGCUUGUUAUGUGUAGCCCCAUUGCAGUAAAUUUUAAUACCGCGGGGCUCCUAUACAAUCUGUGAUACAAACCAACAUGAUAUUCUUAAAUUAGUAAUAAAAUUGACAACGAAUUUUUCUUACUUUGAUGAGAUAUGUAUGAAAUAUUCUGGGAAAAAAUGUACAUGCUAACUCUUGGAUAAUAACUACAAUGAGCGAUGGAAAAUACAUCCAUUUGUAUGCCAUUUAUUACCAAGGAAGUUGCAGAUAAUCGAGGCUAACAUUCUCAAGAGAAUGCUAAGUUGGUAACACAACAGGAAGUAGGUGGGAAAGAAAUACUUACCAGCUAGAGUAAGUCCCUAGGUGGACAAGGCAUAGAAUAAAUUGUACAUUUUUUUUCUCAAAAACCAAACCAAAACCGUUUGAAACCACACCGAACUGAACCAAACGGUUUGGUUUCAUUUUGGUUUUGGCUUCAAAACCGCACCGAACUGCACCGCAAAGAGUUUCGGUUUCGGUUGCGGUUUCACUUGAAACCGCACCGAACCGUACCGUGCCCACCCUUACAUCCGAGUGACCCAAGCAGCCCAGACCGUGAGGGUUGAUGGCCAACUCCCUAGGGUUUGGUCAAUUCCCACUUCGACCAAUCGUAUCCUUGAAAUAGGGGUUCAAGGCAAUGCGUCUUCAACAUCUUGGUGAUUGAUUCUGGGAUGUUUUCCUUGAAAAGUGGUCCCAGAGUUUGGUGGAAAACACUUGAAUCAUCCUCACACCGGAGGGAUUCGAUGGCAUUCUGGUUAAUAAAGUCUCAACAGUUGUCGCAUUCCUCGGCGAGCUUGGUGAUAUGUUAGAGGUUUAUUUUGCUUCUUCAAGGUUGACGCUCAGCUUAGAUUUGUAGGCCGAAUACCUUAGAAGCGAGGGGGCAAUGUUUGGGCCCAAAAUAUUAUUUUGGGCCGAGCUUAGGUCAUUCUCGGCCUAAUGGCAUUCAUUUAGAAUCUUGUUAUGGGCCAUCUAGUUAAGGUCAGCCGAAUCCUAUUACGAAAAGGUUUGGUUUGGAUAAGGGUGAGUUGGUUGAAUCCUAGUGCAACAAAGAUUCUUAAAGCUAAGGACACUGAGAAUUAGGGGGUGAAUCUGGUUUGUUAAGAAGCUUGGUUCAAAGCCUACAGGAAUUAAGAUUGGUUGAAACUUGAUCGGAUUGGGUUGAGGAGUUCUAAUCCUAGUCCAUUUCUAGUUUGGCCAUGAGAGGAUUCGCUAUUAUAAAUAGAGGAGAUAGUGCAUCAUUCAAAGCUCCUCCAAUUCAACACACAAAUUGCCUUGUGCAAAGCUUCUCAACAACCUUUGAGAUUUUAUCCCCUUCCCCUUUCUUUUACCAACACAUCUUCAGUUUGGAUAAACAGUACUGUGAAGGCAACCGAUGACAUCUUCAGUUUGGAUAGACAACACUGUAGCCGUAUAAUUAGCCGACCGAGGAGCACUUUCAGUUUGGAUAGACAACACUGCUUCGAAGCCGACUGGUAAUUUAUCCAAGUCUCGGCUGAUAAGGAUUUUCGAAACCUUGUUAGCAGAGGUCAUCUCAUUAGCCUUCUCGGCGAAGUAAGGUGUUACAUGUUUCUAGGCUUGGCACAUUGAACGUCGAGUUUUGUUUUAUGAUUGGAUACUCGUAAGUAAGUUUCAGAGUUCAGCAUUCCGAUAGCCGAACCACAUUUAAAAUCAAGACAUAUAUUUCUUUCGAGUGGGCAUGCCCCACGCAUAACUAAAGGACGUAGUUAGCUUAUUAGUUACUCGGCCUGCGCGCCACGUAAACUUGAUAGUUUUUAGGGUCAACAACUUUCAUUUUUUCAUUCCCAACCUACCCUGAAUUUAAAAAUGGAUAGAAACAUAAUUUUUAGGCCAACUUUUACUUAAUUUGUUGCUCUUUGCUUUGCCACUUUUAUGCCAAGUUCUUCUUCUUCUUUUUUGUCGAUAUGCUAAGUUCUUCUUCUUCAUCUUCGUCACUUUUUAUUCUUCCAUUUGUUCGUGUUAUACUUCUAUCUUAUAUGUUGGAAUAAAUUAUGUUGAAACUAAAUUCACGCAGUGCCAUAGAAGGUAAAGACACACAAAUUCGAGUAAUCUGUAAAAGAACAAACAACCAUGAGCUAACAAAAAACUAGGGGUGUGCCAGUCAAAGGCUCUCCGAUGGUCAAGUUAGUAAGCAAUAUAAAAUUAAAGAAGUAGACAAGAAAGUAAGUAUGCGAUAAUUGUGUUACCAGAGAAAAUCCUAGAAUGAUGUAUUUAUACUAGUUGAGGAUGGGAUGUUUUAGAAUAGUAGAAUUUGUAUUAAAUCGGGAGAAUCCUAGAGGAUAUCUAGAGAUAGAUAUUGCAUCCUCUUAGGAGUGUGAUUACUUACCGCACACGUCAAUCUUUUGAUUGUAAGGACUCCAAGAUUAAUUAUAAGAAACUUGCUGAUUUCUUGCUGGAUUUUGUUUCCAUAUCUUAUGGAAAAAGGUUAGUCUCAUCGAAAUCAUCAGACUUCACCCACUGAUUUCGGAACAGGAUGAUGGUGGCAUCGCUGCUUCGUAUGUUUAGCUCCGCAUCGGAAGCUGUAGAGUCCAUGACCAAAUAUUCGUAUUCCGAUCCACCUUACUCUGGCCCUGAAAAGUCAUAGUCCAACAAUUUAUAUUGAAAUUUGUCAUGGUGAUAACUUAACUACAUGUAAUACAUAUUCCUUUCGCUUGUACAUGUCUUAAAAUUUGCCAAAUGCUUAUAUGUCUUUGCCUUUCCUUUUGUAUAAUUGGUUGGGUAUUUUUAAUUGUAGGAAGAUAGUAAUAUUUUCAUACGUAUAAUUGUUUCAUAUCUCUUUUAUAGGUAAAUGAAGAUGUUAAUUAAUCAAAUAUUUUUCGUAUAUAUAGAAUUGUAUUAUAUAUUGUUUCUCCCCAAAAAAAAAGUGCUUUAGAUAUCAUUAUCAUAGGUAAGUAACCGUAUAUAAUUAGAAAUUUAAAUCUAUAUUUAUUAUCAAAGUCAAAAUAGUCAUACAACUAAAAAAUAAAUGCACAAAUUGGGUUAAAGUUGACCACACACACACAUACACACGCGCGCGCACACACACAUAUAUAAUAUGUUUGUGUGUUUGUUUGUUUUCUAUAUGUAGAGCUUAAUUAAUUAGGUUUGCAUGGUAUACAUAGUAUCCAAGCUAUGUAGCUAUCUUAUUUUUUUUUUUAUAAAAGUUAGCCUGCAUGAUUUCUAAUCCAUCAAUGUUUCUUUGUAGUUGGAGGUGUUCUAUUUCAUGCAUGCAAUAGUAGGAGCUGUCGCUUGGUAAAAUUAACAAGGGGUUUUUGAACUUUAAUUCUUGAAGAAGAUUAAAAUUUAAUAAAAAUUUAGUGUUAUAUUGAAUAUUGAUUUUAGUCUAUUAAUAUGUAUUUAAUUCAAAUUCAUAUUAUAUUUUUGUUUUUAUAUUUAACAGAUAACUUAUUUAAUGUUAUUACAUUAAAUUUUAUUUAACUUUCUCUAAUUAGUGUACCUAAACGUCUGUAUCAUAAUAUACUUUACUAAAUUAAUGUACCAAAAUGCCCGUACCAAAAUAUAUUGUAGUGAAUUAGUGACACAUAAGAAAAUAUGUAAAAACAUAAGUGUACAGAAAAUUCCGUACCUAACUAUAUGAUACUAAACUAGUGUACCAAAAUGUCGGUACCUAAAUAUAUUAUACUAAACUAGUGUACCGAAAUGUUCGCACCUAAAUAUAUUGUAAUGAAUUAGUGGCAGAUAAGAAAAUAUGCAAAACAUAAGUGUAAUGAAAAAUCUCUAUGAAAAAUAUUUUCUUAUAUAAGAUGCUUACCAUUAGAUGAUUCCACUAAAUGAUGCCUAUAUAUCCUCGAAUCUUACUUUUCCACUCCACUACAAACUUUCAUUGUCAAAACAAAAAAAAAAAACUCCCAACUUUUUAUACGCACUUAUUUCAAAAUUUUGCCUCUCUUUUGAAUCUUUUAUCAUGGCUUUUUCAAGCAAGAAGUCUAAACCAAUUAAGCUUUCCCCCUAUAAUCUUCCUUUGACAAGAGUUCGUAAUCGAGAAGAAGGUGAGUCUUUCAUUAAAGAGCACCAUGACAUUUUGGACGACUGUAACGUCUGGUGGGAACCUGGUCAUGAUAUCUAUGCUAAUCUGCACCGUUGUUUAGUCCUUGCUGUCUUUGUACUAGAAUCUACCCUUGGUUCUUGGACUUUGGUCUUCGUUUCCCUCUUUCUGCUUUUAUGAAAGCCAUUUUGUUAUGCUAUGAUAUAGCCAUCUGAAACCUCUCUUUUACCGCCUUCAAGCUUUUCACUUGCUUCGAGUUGUUGAAUUAGUGGUUCGGGGCUAAGUUGGAUAUCCCAGAGUUUAAAUGUUGCAUAGCUUCAAACCGAGUUUGGAUGACCAUUAUUAUUUUGCUGCUAUAACUAGUUUGGAUUAGGAGACAUACAUCAAGACACCCCUAAUCACCACAAGGAUUGGUUCAAAGACAUACUAAUUGUUAACGGAGCUUAGGAGGGAGAUAUUAGCGGACUCCAGAUCCGGAUUGAUCCUCCGACCGUUUAUCGCAAUUGGAAAUGGUUGUUCUCUACUGAGCACUUGAACAACCGUAAGAAGAUAUAGACGCAUUUCAUUGUUCAGGAUUCCCUAUAAAGAAGCUAGAGUAGGUUGAUGCUCGUAAUGAUCAUAGAAAAACUCGUUCCUUUAAAACAGCAUAGACUUUGUCACCUGUCCUAAAGAAGCGGAAACAUCCUAACAAUUCUUCUUCUUACUCAUUGGUUGUGACUCCUCAGCCACAACUGCUGAUUAAGGACAUCCAUUAUAAACCCCUCUUCGAAUAAGCACGUUGCUGUUCUGGCGCCACCAACUUUUAUUGUAUUUGCCUCUAUAUCCAUAGCAAAUAAGCCGCUUACUUCACCUCUUAUCCAUUUACCUGCGGUGUUGCCCCAAUUGUCGAAGUCAGAACCUAUUGUCCUCAUUUGGUUCUUCCACCAAGUUUUAUGUUCGUGCCAUACGAAAUUGAUGUGCCUUCCAUUUCCUCAACGUCCACUUUCGUCCAUCCGCUGCAAGUGCCUAUAUAUGAACCUUCCUGCCAUAAUGGUCCUCCAUUGAUUUCCCCAUCGAGGUCCAAGGGAACAUCUCGUCCUCCCUUUAUGAUCAAACCUUUGGCUGAUCGAGUUGCUUUUGCUUCUGAUGUCAGUGGUCUUCAAAACACAUAUGAUGCUCGGGUGCUGCAUGGGGCUACGAUUGCCACUACCGAUUUCAAGGGAGCCUACACUUCUCUUAAAUGUGACAUAAUGCAGUACUAUAGGAGUCAUUAUGAGAUACCCGAAUUUCUCUCCUCCAUUUCUUUUUGUUGAUAUGUUUCCCUCGUAUUAGGUUAAUGUGUGGACGAAUCUAGGAACUUAAACGGAUUACAGAUAUAGGCAAAACGAUGAUUGCUAUCCCAAUCAUAAGAACUUAAGAACUCGUAUACCAUGUAGCAAGCCUCGAAUACCACUCAUGAUGUAGAGAUAAUUCGGGAGAUUGAUCUAGCUACUGUUAUAGAGGUAAAGGCCAAAGAUUACAAGGAAAGUUUUGAGAAGGUUAGAGACGAGCUGAGGUUAGAGAAGCAAGCCAAGACGAAGGUGGACUAGGCUCUUGUUGUCUUAAAAGGAGAGUCGGAGCGUGUGUUAGCUUUAAAACAAAAUGUUUGGGCUAAAGAGCAGGAAGCUCUUCAAAAAAAGAGGUCGAGCAUCUAUGCUAAGAGGUCGAUCACAACGAUAACAAGCCCAUCGCGUACCUUUAGCAGCUUACUAACAGGUAUUCCUCUUAGACGUAUGUAUUCCAGGAAGAUCAUAAGAGGUUACUUGAAGAGGAGUUUGACGUCAGAUUCCUUACCGAUUACGCCCAACAAGAUCACCCUAAAGGUUGGAGCGUCUUCAGAAUUUAUGAGUAGAUCAAACACAUGGACUUUCCUCCUCCGCAUCAUUUGUUAGAUGAGAUGUCAGAUUUAGAGGCGGAGCAAAAUGAAUGUGAUCUUAAAGGUAAUCCGACACCUGAUGCCCUUGGUGAAUCUUCUACUCCAUUCAAGGGAAACGAUGUCCUGAAAAAGGAUUAAUUUGCACUUGCUCCUGGGUAGGAAAGGAGACUGUCCCUUUUGCAAACUUUUUGUCGUAAUACAAAGCUUUUUCUUUCAUUUCUUUCUCUACUCGGGGAAGAAAUCUUAAUCCUAUAAAUUUCUCUAAAGUAAACGAACUUUAUUUGAGAAAUAAGUGGCGGAGCGGGUACGAGUAAGUUUGUAGGUUCGGGACAAAGCUCAUCAACUCCCCUUGGAAACAUUGAUUCAGGGGAAUGUUGCCUCCUAAGAUUUGUAUUCAUAAAGUAUUCUCAUCAUGAUAUCUAGAAUACCACCUUAUUAUGGUAUUAGGAAUUAGACAUUAAACCCAUGAGAAAACUCUUGCUCUUACACUUAUUAAAAUACAUUCAUCAGGUAUAAGAGGUCCAAAUCAUGCCUGAUAACAUCUUAGAAGUAGAGGUCGAUUACCUCAAAACUUGCAAUGUGGUGCCAGAAUGAGUUUUCCCUGGUCCGAAUUGCGUGUUCAUUUCUAGUGAAUCUUACGCAAAAGUUCUUUGGAUACAUGGUCAUCAACAUGUGAGUCAAAAAUGCUUUUAGAAUCCUUUUGUUAGACCCUAUGUGUCGGACUUGAGCGUUUAUAAUCGGACUACUUUGGUUGGCUUGACCAAAGCAUUUUCGCUUACUGAAGCUCCAUUGGAAUAAAAUUCCUCUUUGGGAUUGCCUAGUUUGAAUGCCCUCUUCGAACCUGCUAACACUUGGUGUUGUAGAGCUUACUUGACUUAGUAAAUUAGUCUGGGAUAGAAGUAGUCGUACUCGGGGUCAGAUUUUAGAGCCACCCUCAGAUAAGUUCCAGAUCGCCCUUUUGACUAUUCCCUCGAAUGUGUAGAGCCCAGGUUUGGAAUGUUAUAACCCACAACCUUGCUGGUUACAUAAACUUUCUAGAGACUGGAUGGUGCAUUGGACUUCCAGGUCAAGGCGCAAUGUUCCUGUACCCAUAGCCCACCAGUCGUUACAACACUUAUUACUGUUCGAGUCUAACAAGCUGCUAGCCGUUCCAGACGGAUAAGGCUAAAGAAGGCUCUUAUGAUAGUGUAAUUUUGAAUGUUUUUAGACUUGUAUUCGUGUAAAGUUUUCAAAGUUUGGGGCCUAUUUUUUAACGAGUGGGGUACUCCCUACAUCAUCGAAAAAAUAAAGAAAAGAAUACGUAUUUAAGACAAACAGAUGCUCGUUAUUCAUGAUCGAAGUAAAAUUGAUUGACAAGAGGGUGUGAUUGAAUCUGAGAAGGAUUGCCUACAUAUUUAUGAGAUGGAGAAUCAAAUUACUGAUAUAGUUCUAAAGAAAAUAUGAUAUAUGUAAAAAUUUACAUGAAAGAUCACUUUUGACGAUAAGCCUAUAGGGAGGCGUUGGGGGAUGAUUUCUCAAUGGACUUAUCUUCACACAGAUGGGGGCGUUACCGAACUGCCUACAUAUCUCAGGAAGGGAAUCAAACCGUGUGUAUUUCAUGUGAGAUUUACUUUGUUUUAGGUCACUUGGAGAGGCUUGCAAGGGUUUUAAUUUUCUUUCUUCAACAAGGAUUUCAUCCAUCGGCACAAGUCCUCUGGUUUCUAUGUCAUUGAACCUUUUGCUGCUUGGCAUCAAUUCGGAGUAGUGAGGUGGGAUUCUAUCUUUAAAGGGGACUUUUGCCAUGGCGUAUAACCAUUCUCGGCCAAAGAAAGCGUUGUAUAGAGACAAAUUAUCCAUCACUUGGAAAGUCAUCAGAUGUUCAGAUGGUUUUGCUUGAACCAUGAAAUGUAUUGUCCCUAUGGUGUUAAGCGGGGUUCCAUUAAGGGUUUGGACAUUGGAUCUUCAUGAGUUGACUUCAUCUAGGAUGUUAAUUGAUAGGGAUUUUUACCAUCUACAAAAGUAGAGAUAAAAACACUUAAAAAUACUUGCAAGAGUACAAGGUUGUCGUAGUAUAGUGGUUUAGGCAAGGUCGUUUUCCACCGAGAUUGAAUGAAUAAUUUGUGUUUAAAACCAACACUUAAUUAAUUAUUUAAAACAAAGUUUGGAAAAUGUUGAUUUUAGAAUUUAAUAUAAUAAAAACGAAUUUUAAAAUAAAACAAUUAAAGAAAUUAACUAGAGAACAAUUUAAAGAAAAACAAUUUGUAAAAGCCUAGGGUUCCGCCGUCCCCUUAACAAUCCUACGCAAUUUUACUAAUUACUUAUGAAUUUCCACAUAUAUACUUUGAAGGUUAGGUUUUCCUAAUGCAUAUUUUCCUUGUGUGUUUAAGCGAAAACGUAUAUCUAACAUGCAACCCGUCUGUGAUGUUCAGAUCAAAUAUAAACAUGCAAGACUCAUUAAGCUUUAUGAAAACCCUUUGAAAAACCAUGCAACCCUUAAGAGCGUGAUAUUCACCUUAAGUGAACUUACAAUUACUAAUCACAAGAAGCCCUCCUCAAUUUCAGGGUGAUGUUCCAACAGAAAUUGCAUCAAAUUACUUGUCUAAAAACCCUAAUGGUUGCGAAUCACUAAGACAAUUAGAUAGUUUGAUCGCAGUGAUUAAUAAUUCAAAGUAAGCAUGCAUCCAUUCAUAAGCAAAUUAAUAAAAUCACAUAUUCAUGCUAAGGCUUGUGGCAUCGCCCUAGCAAAAGAACUUAGUUACGAACAAUCAUGAAACAAAAUAUUAUUGAGAAUAAGGAUAGAAAACGCCUAGAAAAUAAACUUGAAAAACUCUCUAAAGUGUGCGUGCGUUCUCUCCUCUCCUUCCCUUCUAACCCUAAUGGCUAAAAGGUCUUAUUUAUACUACUACAAAAUAAAACCUAAAAAGUCUUAGAAUAAAACUAGGAAACAUAAUAAAAUAAUAAAACAUAAAAUAAAAGGUUUCCUAUUUGAACUAAAAUUCGGAUUUCUUAGAAAAUCAGACUUUUGACCGACCAAAUUAACUCUGAUUUGUCCCAAAAAGUCUCUUUUGAAAGAUGGAGACGUCCCCUACAAAUCCUCAGAAGAAAUCUUCCUCAAAAUAUUCCAUCUUGACCUUCAAAAUGCCCAAAACGUCCAGAAAGGUCAGUCUGGAAAAGCUGCGCGCUGGGCCUUUAUUUCAUAACCACGGUCAAACGGCUUAGUAGAAAAAUAUAGAAUUUUGACACAAUCAUCUUGAAAGACUCACGAACAUCCUCCAAUUAGAAUUACUCUAAAAUUAAUCUGUUUGAUCACUUUUUUGCUCCAGAGGAAAUUGAAUGUCCAACUUUAGAAAUAUAGUUCAAAGUAUCAAAAUUCUACCAAAAUAACUAGGGUAAAUUACAUAGUAGCCCCUCAGGUUUGAGGUCUAUUACAACCCCAUACAACAACUUUAAAACAUUUCACUUUCAUACAUCCAUUGCCAUUUUAUUUCAAAAUAACACCUCUGUUAGAUUUUCCAUCUAUUAGUCUGUUAAAUGCUGACGUGGCUACCACAUUUAUGCUGAUGUGGCUGCCACGUGGAAAAAAUAUUUUUUAUACAUUAAAAAUAUUAUAAUAUUAACCCAAUUAAAAUAUUAAAAAAAACAUAAAAACCCUAACCUAGAUCCCCUUUCUCCCCCCUCUCUUUUAUGCAAUCCCUUCCCACUAUCCCUCACCCACCCCCCAGCGACCUCUCCCCAAGCGACCCACAUCCCUAUCCCUAACCUAGAACCCAAAAACCUGCAACAAGAAGAAGAAAAAGAAGAAGAUGAGGGAGGAAAAAAAAAACCCCCAGUUUGUCCCCUCUUCAAAACCUGCAAGAAGAAGAAGACGAAGAAGAGGGAGAAAAAAAAGAGAAAAAAAAGAAAAAAAAAAGCCCAGUUCGCGGGAAGGUCGCCGAAAGGUCGCGCGAGGGGGGGGGAAGGGAAGUCGGUCGCGGGUCGCGGCAGAGCGGGGGGAAGGGAGAUGGGUCGUGGGUCAUGGCAGGGCCGGGGGGGUUUUCUUUUUUUUUUCUUCUUCCUCCCUCUUCUUCUUCUUCUUUUUGUUGUUGCAGGUAUGUGGGUCGCUUAAAGGGGGUGAAGUCUUUGGGGGUGGGGUUCGGGGUGGGUAAGGGAUAGUGGGAAGGGAUUGCAGAGAGGAGAGGGGGAAGAAAGGGGAUCUGGGUUCAGAGGGUGUGUAGAGAAGGAAAGAAGGUGGGUGCGGAGGAAGAGAGGGUUGCGGGUUAGGGGGGUGCACAGGGAGGGUCGACGUUUGGGGGGGGGGGCGGGGGUGUUCUGGGUUUCUGGUUUUGGGGUGGGGGGUUAUCAUUUUUGGGUUUUAGGGAACAAGAUGAAGAUGGGGGAUAUAGGUUUGGGGGUUGCUGGGAGAAGAGAGGAUUUUGGGAGUUGCAAAAGGGUGGGGGUGGGGGAGGGGGGAAGGAAGGGAUAUGGAAUUCGGGAUUUUCUAGUUUUUUUUGUUUUUUUAAUUGGGUUAAUAUUAUAAUAUUUUUAAUGUAUAAAAAAUAUUUUUUUCUACGUGGCAGCCACAUCAGCACAAAUGUGGUAGCCACGUCAACAUUUAACAGACUAAUGGAUGAAAAAUCUAACGGAGGUGUUAUUUUGAAAUAAAAUGGCACUGGAUGUAUGAAAGUGAAAUGUUUUAAAGUUGUUCUAUGGGGUUGUAAUUUACCCUCAAAUCUGAGGGGUUACUAUGUAAUUUACCCAAAUAACUAAUAUAUUAAUACUAAGAUAAGGGUAAAAUAUAUGGUAAUAUGGACUUAUCACUAAUCCUUAUAGCUACCUCCUGAAGAGGAUAUUGACUUCCGAUCCGUUAUCGAUUAGGACUCUGCCGACCAUAGUGUCUUUGAUUUACAACUUGACUGCAAGAGUGCCAUUGGAUGGUGGGUAAACAAUUUAUGGCCUGGUUAAGGGAUCUUUCAUCCAAGGUUUUCCUUGGGUCAUUUUCCUUCCCUUCUGCGCUUUCUUGAAAUACUAUUGUCUUCUCCUUAUGUGAUUGAUGCCUGGAUGGACUUCAUGCCUAGGUGUUAGGGAGGCAGUGGUUAGGGAAUUUCCCGCAGUCUUGUAAAUUACACUACUAGGAGGGCUUCCUAGAUCAACUAUUGUGAAUUUGUCGUUCCUGGGGGAGCUCGAAUAGUAGAAUUUUCAAAUCGGGUGAAGGUACCUUCUACAGUUUUCAUUCUUUCAUUCAGCCUAGCGAGCUUCACCCUUUCUCCUACUUGUAGGUUCUUCUUGAGCACUUUUAUUGACAUGUGUACCUUCAGGACGUUAUCCCAGACCUGGUCGAUGAAAGAGGCUUCUUCUCUAUUCGGGUAUACGGUUUGACCAAACAGCAAUUUUCUGGACGUGGUAUCCGUGGAGCAAAGUGGUCUGGUCGAGAGGAAUAUGGGUUUUCUUUUAAUGAAAGCACCAAUUGUUGAAACCAAAUCUACGCACCUCCGUGAGCGGCGGUUGGGCACAAAUCCGAGUAAACCUGAACAACCUACAAAAGGCUCUUCGAUAGUCAAGCAGUAGGCAAGAGAAUUCAAAUGUAUAGGUUACGUUACUGUAGAUGAACCCUAAACGGGUGUAUUUAUACUAUGAGAGAGAGACAUUUUUAGGAUAGAUCCUCAUUUUAAGCCGGGAGAAUCAUAGAGGAUAUUAGUGAGUAGAUAUUGCAUCUUCUUAGGAGUUGUGAUCACUUGCGGAGCAUGCCUAUCCCUAAAUUGUAGGGACUCCAAGACUUAUAGGAUCUGAUUGUGUCCAUAUCCAGAUCACAUCACAUGUCUUGCAAAACAAGUAUGGUCAUAUGGUGGAGUCACUAGGACUCUGCCUAGGGCCCCAUAGUAGAGUGAUGGUGGCACCCUUCUCCAUUUGAUACAGCUUCACCCGGAGUUGGUAGUGAGUCCAUGAUUGAACUCUUGAGAUAACGGUAUUCGGUUUAGCCUUACUCCGAUCCUGAAAAAUCAUGGUCCCACAUGAGCAGACAAACAUAUUUAGGUGAUUCUGUAAAUGAAUAAUUCCAUCGUGUAUUACGGUGCUCCUACAGAAAAUGGUCCCAAAUUUCUAUCACUUCCAUUCAUUUAUCAGCAAUAGCCCAAACGCCAAACCUCAUUUUUUAAAAGUCACCUGGUAUUAAGCUAAAUAAGUCAAUUAAUUAAGUAUGUAAUUGAGUAAUUAACUAAUGGUGGUGAGAUGAUGAGAAAUGGAAAGUACAAGAGUAUCCUGCACAGAACCACCGUAAACAAGGACAAGACAAGAAUGUCAUGACUAGUGUUAUUGGAGCCGCCAGCAGGUCCUCAUUUACAGCUUGUGAACGCCGACAAUCCACCAGAGUAUAAGACCAAGAAGUAUGGCUACCAUGUUUACUGUAAGAUCAACAAGCAUCCCCAGUAAAUAAAAGAAAAACUAACGAAAAGUUAAAAAAAGACUUUAGUUUUAAUGAAAAAUGACAAAUAAAGGUGUAAUGAAUAGUAUCAGGGAAAAGUAAAAAUGUGAUUUUUCGUUAAAAGUGAACAAUACCAGGAGUAUUUGUUAAAACUCCCCAUAAAUAAAUACUAUGAAGUGGGUGGUUUUUGUUUUUUUUAUUUUUAUUUCCUUAUUUUGUGUUGGUGAAAUUGUGGGUGGUGAGUACCAUAUUUGUAUGAAAUAAUAAUUUGAAGUCAAGGUGAUGAGCAAAAUCUUACUCGAUUGUAUAUUAUUAUGGAAGUUGAGAUUUGUUGUCGGAUUCGACAUUCUUCUUAUCCCUCUAACUCACAACAAGUCUGAUCAAAUUCUCAUUUGGUGUCCAAGAUAAAUUUGAAUGAAUAGCCCACAAUAUUUAUUGUAUGUUGAACAAACAAAUGAAAAUUUUGUAUCCAAUUUAAAGUAAAAGAUGAAUUACUCAUACAGAAAACUUGUACAUUCAAAUUUCCUCCAAAAUGACAAGAUUCUUUGGGACACUUUGGAUGCGAUCCCUAGCUAUCAAUAUUCUUUGAUUGAAACCUUGUUAGUUUUUAGUUUUUGAUUGAGGUCCCUGAUAUUAAUGUAAUAAUGUAAGUUACUAUAUUUUUUUAAUUAAAAAUUAAAAAUUGAAAUUUGUAAUUGUUUAUAUUAAUGAGAUUUUAAAUAAAACCCAUAAUUUAUGGGAUUAAAAAUAAUAAAAUAUAAAUUAUUCUCUCUAUUAUAUUGUGUGUGUGUGUGUGUGUAUAUACAUAUAUGUAUGGGUACAUUAACCAAAAUUAACAAAAAAAGUUAUUGUACCAAAACAUGGAUACAUUCUCAAAUCAACGAAAAAGAAUGUACCCAUAUAAGUUUAAACAUGGAUUAAAAAAUUUGAAUGGAUUUUAUAUUAAAAAAGGGUACAUUUUACAUAUAACAAAUUGAUAUAUUUGAGAAUGGGUACAUUUAAGAUUAAAAAAAUUGAAAAAUUAUAUGAAUGGGUACAUUUAAGAUUAAAAAAUUGAGAAUCUUUUUAUAUAUAAAAAAAACUAAUAGGUACAAACUUAAUUUAAUUUAAUUUUUUAUUAUUUUGGAAAUGUUUGAAUUGAAAAUUAAUUAGAAGUUUAAUAGAGGUGUGAGUAUUAAACCCUAAAUUAAUUACUAAUUUUUAUAUUAAAAAAAUUAUAUAAUAAACAUGUAAAUUCAUUAUCACAUUAAUGCUAGGGACUUGAAUCAAAAUUAAGAACUAAUAAGGUGUUAGUCAAUGAACAGUAAAAACUAGGGACUGGAUACUAAUUUUUCCUUAAAAAUAUAACUUUCAUUCAUAUCUACUCAAAAUGAAGAAAACCAUUUACCUCUACAUUCAUCUUUAUGUACUUGGAAUUUUACGAGUUAUCUAUUACAAUCCUAGAAAUCAAAUGACCUUAAGAAACAAAGAAUCAGAAUAUUUAAACUUAGGACAUUGGAUACAAAAGUGUAUAUUCUUAAUCACUACAGUUCAUUUCUUAAACUUUUAUAGUUUAGAAUGCAUAAUCUAUAAAAGCUUUAUUUACAGAAGAAAAGAAAGAAAAUGAGGAGACACGAUUGAUUUGUACAAAAAUAAUAUUGUACAGGCAAAGUCACAUCCCAGAACCAAUUUUGGGAGAGGUUUUGUUUGUUUGCAAGUAAAACAAGUAGAUGUUUUUAACCUUUUACCCUCCAAAACAAGUUCAAGAACGUUCUACUAGUUAGAACAAUAAUAGUAGGGUGGAAUGCUGAUUUAAUCUCUGAAUUAUUACCUCAGUGAAAAUUAGGUCCCUGAAUUAUUUUUCGGUAAAAUAAGUCCCUAAAUUCAUUAAAAAUUGCUAAUUUCAUCCAUACUACUAUAUUAAAAGCUAGUUUAUCACUUUUUUGUCAACUUAAGUCACUUGACACAUUUUAAAGUAAAAUACCAACAUUUUCUCACGUAUAAGCCAUUAACAUUUCAUACAGGUUACCAAUCUAAGGUCUAAUUUUUACCCUCCAAAGUUAACUUCAUAUACUAUUUCUUUAUGUAAAAUUACUAAUCUACUCUCUAAUGUGUAUCAUAUGCAAGUACCUUGACUUAAGUUGACGGAAAAUUGAAUAUAAUAGCUUUGAAUAUAAUAUUAAGGAUGUAAUUGGCAGAUUUUUAAAAUUCAAUGAUUGAUUUUCCUCAAAAAAAUAAAAAUAUUAAAGACCUAACUUUUACUCAGGUGAUAAAUUAUUCAGGAACUAAAUUGGCAGUUCACUCAUAGUAAUAAUGACAGACCCCGAC
This 67746-nucleotide long non-coding RNA is filed under the name Malus domestica (apple). RNAcentral's name for it is "long non-coding RNA (MDOM_LNC004302)". The record is from RNAcentral. Lineage: Eukaryota; Viridiplantae; Streptophyta; Magnoliopsida; Rosales; Rosaceae.